RNAcentral lists this long non-coding RNA (82169 nucleotides) under Ananas comosus (pineapple). RNAcentral describes it as "long non-coding RNA (ACOM_LNC001620)". Lineage: Eukaryota; Viridiplantae; Streptophyta; Magnoliopsida; Poales; Bromeliaceae. The record is from RNAcentral.
UUUUUAUUUAUUUUUUUCUUUCUAAUCUUUAAGGGGGAUAACGAAAGUUAUCCCUACUAUUCCGCCAAAUGGGAUCAUUUUUUACUGGGAUAUUUUAUUCCGGUAAAAACUUGCUAUUCCCGGUUAUCCCGGAAUAGCAAGCUUUUUACUAUUCCACCAUUUUGGUAGAAUAGUGCUAUUCCCAUGCUUAAUUUCAAACUUAAUUAAAAUUAUAAAAUAAAUUAAAACUAAAUUAUAUAAAUAUAAUAUAUUAUAUAUUAUAAUACAUUAUUUUUAUUAUAAAAUUAUUAAUUGUGCUAUAUUAAUACAUAUUAUUUAUAUUUAAAUAUUAUAAUAAAUUUUAUAAUAAAUUAUAUUUAAAUAUUAAAAUAAAUUAAAAUUUAAAAUUUAAAUAAAUUUAAAAUUUAAAAUAUUAUAAUAAAUUAUAUUUAAAAUUUAAAAUUUGUAAUCUCAAAAUUAAAGUUUAUAAUUUUAAAUUCCACAUUUUAAAUUUUAAAUUUAAAUUUUGAAAUUUUAAAUUUUUGAAAUUUUAAAUUUGAAUUUUAUUUUUUUUCAAAUUUAAAUUUGAUCUUAAAUUUAAAGUUAGAAAUUUAAAAUUUAAAUUUUGAAUUUAAAAUUUGAGAUUUUAAAUUUUAAAUUUUAAUUUCAAAAUUUGAAAUUUAAAAGUUAAAAUUUUAAAUUUUAAAAUAUAAAUAUAAAAUAUAAAAAUUUAAAUUCUAAUAUAAAUAAAAAAGUGAUAAUAUUAUUAAUUUUUAUUUAUAACUACCCACUUUAAAUCUUAUUCUAUCUUACCUAACCAAACGUUAUUUUUCUUAUUCCCAGAAAUAACCCAAUUUUCAUCCAAACGCAAAAUCAAUCUAAUCCUCGUUUAUACUUCAAUUUAUACCUAUCCCUGGAAUACCCACUUUUUGCUUAUCCCCGAACCAAACGAUACCUAAGAAUCUAUAGUUUGCCCCUUAAGAAUUUCAAAAAUAUUUCAAAAUAAAAAGGCAUUAAUGAAACGAGUAAAAUAACCAAAUUAAUCUUACUUCUUUUAUAAAGAAAAAAUAACUUUUUAAUAUAUUUCUUUCAUUUUGAAAAAAAAUUUUCGUAUAAACUAUAAAAAAUAAACGAAAUAGUAAUAGAACUCUUAUGAAGAGAGAACUCUUAUGAAGGGAGAUUAAAUACAGUAAUAUUAAAAUAUAAAUUUUUAAAAAUAGAAAGAAAAGAUGAAAAAAUAAGUAUUUAUAAGAAAAUUUUCUAGAAUUUAUUGGCAAAAUAGAUAAUGNAAAAAAAAAAAAAAAAAGAGAGAGAGAAAAAAAAAAAGAAGAUAUUUUAUCUAAUUUAACAAAUCUACAAAAAAUGGUCUAAUAUUGUAAAAAUAUAAAAUAGAUGGAUUCUUUUACGCAAAUUAGCCGUAAAUUAUACUGCAGAUAUAAAGUAUGAAAACAAUAUAUAUUAUUUCUUCCUUUAACCCCAUCUAAGUAUAAAAUUGUUAUAUUUCUUUCCAUUAGAAUUAAAAAAAGAAAUCCUGGAAAAAAAUGUUAUUAAUUUGCCAUGUUAGUAAAUGUAAAUCUUCCACCCCCAUCUGAGAAUUUAAAUUUCUUUUUUGAGAUUUUAAUGUUCAAAAAACUAAAUUCAUAAAGCGAGUAAGUAAACAUGAAGCUUUCGACAACUAAGAUGUAAAAUUUACACAACUUUAAAAAGAUUUCUAAAUACAAACUGGUUAAUAUCAUUGCCCGAAAACAAAUGGAGGAACGCGUAAACAAAAAUAAAUAACUAAAUAAAUAAACAAGAUGUUGAUACAUCCAAAUCCGAAACAGAAAUAGUAAUCACAGAAGCUCAAUGUGUGAUACUUGAUGAUCUGAUGCCAAACCAACAAACAAAAUCUACUUCUUACAACAGCAGCUUAAAGCACUUGAUAACACAAAAGAUAACAUGAUAGAAAAGACAUUGAGAAGAAACAGAAACAAAAGCACACAGAUUAUCAUUCUCAAUUCACAAUCAUUCUACCGUUUGGUUCGGGGUUAAAAAAAAACUAGUUAUUCCAGGAAUAGGGGAUAGGAUUAAGUUCAGAGUUAAGGUAGGAUUAGAAUAUUUUUGUGUUUGGUUGGGGGUUAGAGUUAGUCCAGAAUAGUAAAAAAUAGUGUUUGUUAGAGUAGAUGGGAUAAGAAGGAUAGUGAAUUAUUAUGAAUAGAAAAUAAUGUUUGGUUGGAAUUUUGUGGGGUUUGGUGGGAUUAGCUAACCCGGGAUAGCCCAUUUGAGGUGGGAUUAGCUAACCCCACUCAUUUUUGUUUUUUGUAGGUGUUUGGGGAUAAUAUGGGGGUUAAGGGGUUAUUCCACCCCUUAACCCCCAACCAAACAAAGGCACCAUUUGGGUUUGCAUUGUGGUCGAAAGGGUCGAGUUUGCGGUAGCAGAACCACCGCAGAUGCUAACCACAUUACUCUCGCGCACCGCACUGCACCGAUUUCGUCGACAACACAAAGAAACCAUAAGAAGUGUCAGAUUUUACAUUUGUUUGAAUAACAAGAUAACCAACUAUAUACCAACUCUAGCAAGAAUCAUGAACAAAUUGAUCUUGAGCUACAGUUCUAGAAAUUGCGGCAAUAAAUUAAACAAAAAUGGCAACAUGCAACUACUGUCCCUACGUCUUCAGAUUACAAGAAGUUUAUGAUCAAGUCUCAGAAAAAGCAGUUCUCAGAAAUGUUCCAAAUAGUCCGCAAAUACAAAUAAAGUUUCACCGUGUAAUAAAUGCCAAUUAUGUUCCAAUUACUGGUCCAAAAUCAUUGCUAUAUCGCCUAAAUCAAAGAUCCGUUCUGUUAGUUUUGAUCUAAGAAAGUUACUUCCGCGAGUUAAGCUGUCACAAAUAACAGUUAGAAUUCUUAUUCAUUUGAUGAGGCAUCUAAUUUGGAAGUCAAGUGUUCUCCACUCCAAAACCUUAAAAGCAAAAAAUAAUUUGCUAGUUAGUUUUACUGCUCACUCAGAUUAUCACCGUCGAUGCACAUCCACAAAAUUAUACUUACCUAAUUAAAAUGCACAUGUCGACACAAAGGAGCCAAUUACAAUCUUUAAGAUUGUGACAGCAAUAAACUCUUGUCUAUGCGAAGAUCCGUAGAAGAAAUUAUGAUGAGUGAUUCCUCGCAAGUUUAGCAAUAUGCAAGCAUAAGAAAUAUCACCAAGCAGGUAAAAAGAAAUAUGGAAGCAUUAUAAUGAUAAGAAUCAUAGUCGUCCCAAUCAUGCUUGAUAAAUAUGUUUCCACUACUGAUAAAACAGGAGAAUUAAUAAGACCAACCAAUCUCACCGUGUAUACAAUUUCAACAUGAAGUAAAAAAGCUGGAAACUAAUGCAUAAGCAAAUUCCCCAUACUUGCAACACAAAUGAGGUAAAAGGAUCAUACGACAGCUUUUAACCAUUCCCGUAGACACAAAUGACGAGAAAUAAUAUUGACGCUCAGAAGUAUCCGUGAAGUAAAUGUGUAGCUGAACCGUAAAAAGCAGUCAUAUGGGCCACGAUUGUUUUCACCGGAAUUUGAGAGAGGUAAAGUUAUUUAUGGCCGUAAAUCCCCACUUAUAUUGUUUGGUUCACCGUAAAUUAAAUCACAACCUGUAACUCCACUUUCCCAAAACGCUAUAACAGACUUCGCCCCGGAUGGUGCCGAAGUCAAUUACGAUAGAGAAAGGGAUAGGAAAAACAAGAAUAAAAACUUAACUGCUAUAACUUUUUUCAUCCUCUUUUGUGUUAGUGUGAAAAUUUUCAGUAAAGUAAAUAAACAGUGGGAAAAUUACAGUUCCAAAGCCAUUAACUUCCAACCUAUCAAAAUAAACAAUGGCGGAAAAAAUAUUUCACAUGAAUUGACAACCAUUUUCAACCCGAAAAUCAUUUACGGGCAAACAAACAAGCCCAUGGACGUAACCAUAUGAAGUCUCAAGAAAAAAGAAAAAGCCCUCAGAUCUCAUAGCUUUCAGAUAUUCACCGUGGCUUAAGCAGUAGUUUUUCAAAAUGAGCAUCAAUACAUAUAUGAAGAGGAGGAGAAGGUGGUGGUGGCGGUAGUGGUGGUGGUGGAGGUUGAGGAGGAAGAAAUUGGUGGCAUAAAGUGUAGGAGUGGAUGCAUAAAUGCUCAAAGAGAAAAACCAUGCGGCCACUCCAGAGUAUAUAGUUUUCCAUCAUUGGGCGCUGCACAUGCUUGUGAAAAUUGAACUGAAUAAACCUAUAUAGAAAUCAUAAUCCAGCAAAAAUUUAUGAUAUCAAACCCCGAAUAUCCAAAGCAAUGACAGCUUUUCGCUUAUCAUAUAAAUCAAACUAUUUAAGUUGGUAGCAGUCAUGAAGGAACAAGAGGGACAAAAGAAAGAAUAUAGAGACAGGCAGCUAGGUACAAAUUCAUUCGCUUCUUUGGCAUCAAAGGAUGAGCAGACAUAGAAACAAAGAGAGUAAAAUAUGCCAAAACAAAAGAAAUAGCAAAAAAAAGAGUAACAAACAUAAAUAUAAGUAGCAUUUAGACUAAGUAACAAGAACAGAAUGCAUAAACUAACAAUGUUAUAGAGAUCACUUCUUCGACCAAAGCAAAAGCAGAAACACAUAAGCAUUGAUGUUUUAACUUUGUAAGUGUAGUUAACGGAUUACAGUGAAGCGGGAGGAUGAAAUUGCGCAGAAAAAGCAUUACCAAACCACUACAAGCUUGCGUAAACAAUUCAACAUAGUAAGUCUCAGAAAUAAAAGCCCUCAGAUCUCAUAGCUUUUAAACAUUCAUCGAGACUUGGGCAAUAACUUUUUCAAAAUGAGCAUCGGCACAUUUGUGAGCGGCAGUGGCGGCGGCGGCGACGGCGACGGCGGAGGUGGAGGAGAAGGUGGUGAAAAAGGAGGAGGAAGAAGAGGAGAAUGGAUGAAUGGUGGGGAUAUUGUUGUGCUUCAAUGCUCAUAGAGAAAAACUAUGCAGUCACUCUAUAUCAUGGGUUUUCCAUCAUUGGGCAUUGCGAAGGCUUCGGCAGAGCGUGCACAUUGAGCGGAAUAAAAUUCUAAAGAAACAUAAUCCACACAAUCCUGAUAACCAACCCUAACAUCGAAAUUAAUGGCUAUAAACUCAUAAAAACACUCAUUAAUGGCUAUAAACUCAUAAAAACACUCAAAAAAGGCAGAGGGAAAAGGCAAUUUCUUCUAUACGUAAUGGCAUUAAGAGAUAUGAUACAUGCAUUUAGAUCUCAUAGCAAUAUAUAUUCGUUGAUGGAUCAAAAAAUAGUCUAUAACAUCGAGCAAUAACAUAUGCAUACAAUAAACAAAGGAAAACAACGCGAAGCAUGUUUAAUGAAGUGCAAAAUCAUAAAUGAUAGAGUGUCACAUCCUAUACAUUGUGGUUCACAAAAAAUUCAGUGUUUUCCUGCGCUACUUACUACGGAAAGUUAGCGCUCCUUACUACGGAAAGCUAUCGACGUAAAAUAAAUUCGCCCAUAACUUCAAUUUUGCAGAGAUAGUGACGAAGUGAGUUCAGUGAGAUAAAAAAAAAAUAGAUUACCAACUACAACUUUUUUUUUUCUGAGUGCGGAAAUUUUGAUAAUAGAAACAAAAAUACUAGGAUAACUACAAUUCUAAAGCGAUUGACUUUCCAUCAAACAAACAGAAGCAGAAAAAAGAUUUCCAACAUGAAAAUUAAUUACGGGCAAACAAACAGGUCACAAAAAAAGAAAACUUAUUGUUAAAAUUGCAGAAAGGCUACAAUAUGGACUAAAUUUUAUUCAUCUGAACAUCAAUGGAACCCUCAGAUCUCAUAGCUAUUUGAAUUUCAUUGAUGGCUCGAGCAAUAGAUUUUCUAAUUGAGCACUGAAUUAUGCCAUUAAUAAUCAAUUUUUAUAAAAUUGAUUCUGCUUCUGCUGCUGUUGCUGCUGCUGCUGCUAAAGAAGAUGAUGAUGAAGAUGAUGAUGAUGAUGAUGAUAGUGAGGAGGGAAAAGAGAGAGAUGGUGAAAAUUUCACACAAUGCUUCAAUGCUCAACAAGAAAAAUACCACAAAAGCCACUCCAAAUAGUUAGAGUUUCCAUCAUUGGGCAAUUUUUUACGACCUAAAUAUAUUCUACGAAUAGAUCACAAACAUGAGAGAGGAAAACAGUUUCAGAGAAAUUGUAACAACAAAUUGAAGAAAAAGAAAAGAAAAGAAAUGAGAUUAAUAGGAUUAAAUUGCUCAAGAACAACAAAUUGUAAUCAACAACACCACCGAUCUAAGUCCAAAAUAUUCAUAAUCAUCCCCCCCCAAAGAAAAAAAGAAAUAUAAAAUGGCAAAUUAGAUGCAAAAGUUAAAAAGAGAAAAUUCAAAAAAAAAUAUAAAAAUUAGAGAUCGGAUUCAUCGUAUAAUCGAAUGUGGGAGGGUGGAGAACGAUUGAUUGAUUAAGCAUGCGGCGGGUUUAGGGUUAGGGCAAAAAAGGUGCUCCAUUUAAAGAUGUUAAGCUUCUUAAAAAAAGAACCUCAUCUUUUCAUGAAAUAUCUAAAAUGCCAUCGUGCGUGAAAAUUAGCCCAUGCUUUAAAAUUCGGUUAAAUAGUAACUCAAAAAUAUUAUUGGAUUAAUAGUGACUGAGUGGGACGUUAUAAAUAUAAUAUUUAAUUAUUUAAUAUUAGUAUAUAUAUAUAUAUAUAUAUAUAUAGAUAUAUUAUUUUAGUAUUAUAUUUAAUUAUAAACUAUUAAAUUUUAGAUCAAAUUAAAUAUAUAUAAAUUUUUAAAUUUUACUUUUUAUAAAACUAAUGUGCUGAUAAAAAAAAUCAGGUUAAUUGAUUUUAGACUAUUAAAUUUUAAUACGACUUUAUAAAAAGAUUCAACCGGUUUGAUUGAAAUUAGACAGGAUUAUUGGUCCAAUAGUUGAAUCACUGAUUCGAAUAGUUUAAAACUGUUUUUUGAAUUAUUCGAUUCAUAGGAUUGAACGGAACUGCUUUAUCGACCGAGUCACGGUCAGAUCGAUCGAAUCGGUUAGUUCCACCCGAUUUUUAAAUCAUUGAAAAUAGCAAGAUUUUAAAUAGGGGAAAAAAUAUACCCAACUUUAUUUUGUUGUUUUUUGAGGAGGUAGAUCGAAAGGGCAUCUAUAACUUUUAAUUUUGAUGAUCAGAUAUUUUUAAAUGUUAUCAAAUAGUUUGAUUGGUCAAUUUUCUUAUCGGCUUAUUAUUUACACAACUAUUUUGGUCGCAUAUAAUAUAUACAAUUUUGUAAAAUUUUGAAGUAUAAAGAAUUAUUUAUAUUCUAAUAUAGAAAAAAAAAAGAAUUAAAAGUAUGUUUACUGUAUUUGUCAAUCCUGAUGCUUUUAUCAAAACUACCAGGAAAAAAAAAAAAAAAAACUCUAUGUUUGAAGUAACACAAAAUUAUAUGUAGAAAUAACCGAUGAAAAUUGAAUUAGUAACUUAUCUCGAAGAGAAGAGUCGGUUGAACUAUUAGAUAAAAAGAAUUGAGCUGGAAUGCAAUCGGUAGCAAACAGGCUUAAUUGCCACCCAUUUAUUUUCAAUAAUAUAGCCUCCAGAUCGACAUGAGAGCGAAAAAAAGAAAUACAAAAAAUAAAAAAAUAAAAAGAAUAUAAAAUAUAAAAUAUAAUAAAAAAUAUUUUUUUUAUAAGAAAAAAUAAAGAAUCAGAUAGGAUAGAAGAAGAGUUGCACUGUGUCAAAAAAAACGUUGAACUGUUUUAGAGAAAACUUAUAUUCUCACUUGCGCUCGCUCCAAAUCCUCCUCCGGCGCCGACAUCGGUGCUUGCGCCGACGAAGACGGAGGAAGAGGACGUAGCGCUCGUUAUCAUUGUGGAGAGUUGCGGAGGCGGUGGAGAGGGGUCGAAAAAAAAAGAAAAGAAAAGAGGAAGAGUACGCAGCGUUACCCUCUUAACUAUCGUAAAGUAGCGGUGGAGAAAGGUCAGAGGAAAAAAAAAAAAAAUCGCAGUGCUGCCUCGACAGAGCCGGAGGCGAGAAAGGCAGGGCAUGCGUGGACGAGGACACGCGAGACAAAGACGAGGCACGCUGUCGCCUCCUCAGCCGCCCUCUUCGGAGAGAGAAAAAAAAAAAAAAAAAAAAAAAAAAAACGAAAGCAUUUUGAUCAUUUUUUUUUAAAUUCGAUCCGAAUCUGUAAAAUUCAAAAAGACGACCUACUUUCAUAAAAGCGUAAAAGCUCAAAACUAGUAACUUUUUUAUACAAAUUGGCCGCAUAAAGACAUGAGAAAUAUUUUGGAUUCCUUAAAAUAAAUAUUGCCAACGCAUCGGGGCAGUCCACAGACCAAAACAGACUCCGAUCAUGAUCAUGUACCAAUGGAUGCCAAAAUUGUACUGCAGCAUCCCUCUCUGGAAGGGAAUGCUAGAGAACACCAGCACACAAACAAAACUGGAUUGGAAAGAUUCAGAAAAAUGGACUGAGAGCAGAAGAUCAAUGCAAGACAGAAAACGACAGAAAGAUGGAACAUUACCACCAGAUCGAGCAAAACAAUAGAGAGAGAGAGAAAGAGAGAGAGAGAGAGAGAUUAAAAUAAAAUGCCCCACAAUUCCCAGUUCCAGCUUACAACAAGAUCACGCACACCGACGACUAAGAUUGAUUUCGAAAUGUACAACAACAUACGGCAAACAUACAUCGAUCUCGGGCGAAGACAUUUACCCUAUUUCUUAAAAAUCACUUUUUUUUUAUUUUAUCUUUUUUUUUUUUUUGCAAAUCCAUUGUUCUACUCACAAGCCAACUUGGUGUCGAAACUGCUCAGGCAGAUCGCAAAAGCCUGGAACGCUGACAACGGGUACCGGUAAUCCAUCGUGAACAUGUCCUUCCCGACCUUGCCGAACUGCAAGAUGAUCUUGUCGUGGUCGUUCGACGGCGCGGGGCCCCCUGGCGUCGGCUGGGCGGCCGCGAUCAGCUGGAAGUUCUUCACUGACGCGACGGUUACGCGGCCUCGGAAGUUGAGGCACCAGCACUGCAACUGCUCGUGCCACCGCGGGGCCUUGUUGCGGAGGAUGAGCGGCCGCUCCUUUACCAGUCCGUCUAAUCCGUCGUCGUCUCUCUCCCCUCCGGCAAUGUCGGAGAACCGCGCGCUUGUAAAAUAGUCGCCGGAAUGGUCGCCGAGGGAGGACCUGGAGAAGGAGACGGUGGAGCGGAAGGACUCCUCGAGGAGGCGCGGGCCGAGAUCGUCGGCGGGGGGUCCGGGGACCGAGCCCCCUGGGUCUAGGGCGGAGGCCGGGAUGGAGUACAUGAUGCAGUGCAUCCGCCUCGGGCCCCGCGUGCCAAGCACGUUCAGCUCGUAGGUCACCUGGGCAAUGUUGUAGCUGCCAGUAGGGACUUUGGGGGACACUUUCUUGGAGGUGAAGCGGCGGCUCGUGCGGCCGGCCGGCGGGCAAAGGGCGGCGGCCCCACCAUUGUAUGGGGGCUGAGUAUCAUAAAUUAUGAACUUCGUUCCAAUGAAAUUUGACCUGCCGCAUACAAGAAGAAAGAAAAGAUAUGCUCACACAUAUUGAGAUUUUUGAAUUCGUUUCGUAAUAAAUCGACUCCACAUCAAUUGGAUAUUCCCAACAACUANGUUUCGUAAUAAAUCGACUCCACAUUAAUUGGAUAUUCCCAACAACUAUUGUCUAGAGUUGGGGGACUACGAGCAACUUUGAUUUGAGAGGAAAAAAAAGAGGCGGCAAACAAUUGGAUGGCUCCCCAACUUGAAGGUUUGUUUUGUUAGAGACUACUCUUUCAAAAGAUAUAUAUGUAAUUAGAUGAUUUCGCUGGAAUAUAUAUGCGAAAACCCCUUAUUAUAUAUUACCUCAGUUUUCCAAUGUACUUGUUGCUUGAUCUCGAUACAUUGCCUGAAUCCAUGGAAAUUACGUACUCGGUGCGAGUUGCCUUGCGAUAUCUUUUAGCCGAUAGGAGGAACUUCCCAUUUUCAUCUAGCACAGCUACACGGCAAAGGGAACAUGUAGUUAGUCAAUUAUACAAACAUGGAUCUGCAAGCUCAUACUGGCAAUUAGUUCUUCAAAAAGAUGAUAGAGAAAGUAUAUCCCAGGAAAAAGAAAGUUGGCAGGCAGGAAAAGUAAUGUUUUAUGCAUUCAUUAAUUUUGCAACGGCAAGCAUAGAUAAAGAAAAGUAACACCAAGUUUCCUUUAUGGAAUUAGAUGCAUACUUAAAAGACAAAAAACAAACUUUAUCUGCAUAUCGGUAGACAGACAAGCUAGACUUGCUGUACACGUAUUGGGUUCUAAUGCUUCCUGUUCAAAUCUACAUCACUAGAGAGAGAAGCUACAAUACUUGUAGAUUCCAAUGCUUUGUAUUCAAAGUCAACAUUGCGUUUUCUUUAUACUGAUGAUCCACCCCAACAAAUAUUAUCUUAGCUAUUAAAAAUGUCCAAAAACAGUUUAAUAUUGGUUCUACAGAUCUCCUACCUCAAGAACAAACUACCCAGAAAUUGACUUUUAAUUGGUCAGUACAAGGAGUAUGUUCAACUUCCCAGUUUAGGAAACCUCAAAUUAGGUAUACUUUGUUCACAAAUUUUAUAAAUAUGUAGAUUGAGGGAUCUCAGUUCAGGUUUGCAGUCUGCAAAUAAGACUAUUUCUUCAUUUGCAUAUUUAUUUAUGUCUCUACUUGGUCCAUAGAAGACGAGCAUUAAAUAAGAAAUCUACAUCUUUCAGAAAAAAAUGCCACAACAGACAAAGUCAACAUCUGGGAUUAAAAUGCGCACAAUCUUUCCUAAUGAAGUAAAGAUAUUCAAUAAUGCCCUAGCAUAUAUGUAUACAUGAUGCCGUAAAAUGGUUUUAUUUCAUAACCAGAAUUCUAAGAUGAUAGUUUAUAGUCGGAUAUCUUCCUCUUACAAGGGAAGCAUAGUUGUCUGAAAGUAAUAAUAAGACAAGCAGAAAUUAGACAUGACCCACGCAUGAAAUAUAAAUCAAACAGGAAAGAUUUCAACAAAGAUCACAGGGAAUUAAAGAAAAAUCAUUGCCAUCACAAGGCAGCUGAGAUAAAUGCAAAACUUACCAGAGCUAAGACACAAGUAGAGACGGUAAGUCCAUUUUGAUUUGUCCCUCUUAAUGAAACAUUGAAUAGGCGCAUCUCGAGACCCAGGCUGUAAAAGCAGUAUGUAGGUUAAUAACAUUCCCAUAUAACAACAAAACGAUCAAGUAUAUACUCUGCCCAUCUUGCACAUAAAAAGCCAUAAAAUAGAUAUAAACUGUUGGCCUAUUUGGCCACCUGGAGCUUAAUAGCGACAGAAAGUCGUUAGGAAAGGCAGUAGUACCCCUUUCAUUUACCACAGAGCAAAAGCAGAAGCCUUAAACUAAAGCUUCACCAUUUUGGACUGAGAAUCUCCUUUCGCUUGCAGCGACAGAAAAAGCUCCAGACCUAUUGCCUAUUUGUCGUAUGCAAUAAUUGUUGCUUUUUAGAGUCAAGACAACAAAAGCUGUUUCCAAAGCCAUCCCGAACAGGCACGUCCGGACACAGAUUAUCCGGGAGGAUCAGAUUUGGGCAGAAACAGCAGAGCUUGACAGAUGGCUCAGAUCUUCGAGAAAUUUGGGUCAUUCAAAAUCCGACUGGGAUUGAUUCAGGGCUACUUUUUCAAACAGAGAAUGAAUAACUUUACCUGUUUAAGGGAGAUAGGAAAAGUGAGCUUCCCGCAAAACUCCGGGUUCUUAACAAUCUCUUUACACAUUUCUCUCCAGGACCUACAAACAGCCGCACAGGCAACAACAUUCUUGCGAGAAGGCCAAUUACUCUCACUCGCCUCCAAUCUCUUAAUCACGUCACGAAGCAAUUCGGGAGGAAGGCUAGCCCACCGACUAUGCUGAACAACUGGAGUUGGGUCAUGCAGCUCAUGCACACUACUCUGAGCCUUUCCUCUAUGAUGACCCGUUAGGCUAGCAAGCCCCGCAAUGGUGACCUCAAAGCUCCGCCUUGAUAUACUCCCAAAGCCAUCUCUAACAUCCCGAACUACACUUCGGAACGACAUUUAUGCCGAAAUGUCUUCAAUAAGGCUGUAUUACAACACAGAAAGUAAAAUACAUAUUUAAUAAAGUAAAACAAGUUUCAUAGAAUAACAUACCAAUAGGUAGAUAAAUACCUUGUUAAGGACUUAAGAUGCUUUGCAGCUAGAAAAUGUUUACAUACUAUGUCAAAUGUGGGGAAAACACAUCCCUGCGAAACAGAAAAUGAUAAUGAAAAAACCAAAGAGAGAUGUAGAAACUAAAAAUAAGUCCCCUACAAAACUAAAGUCAUAGAAGCAAUUAGCAAAUAAUGGUCCAAAGUUUGACCCAGCUUCAUCAAAAAUAAAUAUGAACGUGGAUACAAAAGGGCAAUGACAAGAUUAAAAUAUAACAAAACAUAUGACUAUUUCUUGAAAUGUUUACUAUGAUUACCAUAUUAUACUGGAGAAACCUAUAACCACUCCAAGCUUAUAAUCUACUUCAUAAGUUUCAUCUAAGUCAAUGCAGUAAAUGGAUUAUUUGGAAAAAAGUUGACUAGUCCAAUACGUAUUUCCACUGAUAGUAACCCCUAAUGCGAAAAGGAAGAAGAUAAAACGUAACAAUGAAACUAUGACGGCAUCAGAUGCGGUUUCGUCAACAAAACAAGGAUUUAGAUCACAUAUUCUGCAGCACCUACAAGCAUCUACAGAUUGAAACAACAAAAUCCUUAAUUUGAACACCUUUACAGAAGGAAAAAAAAGGAAAAAAAAAAAAUCUGAUUUUUAACAAAAAUAAAAGGAAAUCAGGAAUACACACAACAAAUUUGGUAAAUGAUAUAUGUGAUCUUAGCGGGGUAAUUUAUACAAUAAAAAAAACAGAUAACUCCGGAACAAUGAUUUUAAGCAAACACAAAAAAAGAAAAAAAAACAAAAACCCGCAACGGAGCAGCAAAUCGAUCAAUCAUUACGAANAUAAAAGGAAAUCAGGAAUACACACAACAAAUUUGGUAAAUGAUAUAUGUGAAUAUAGCGGGGUAAUUUAUACAAUAAAAAAAAAAAAAAACUUGUGCUUGCUCGUGUAUAGGAACAUCAGGCAUAUUUUAGCAAAUCCAAGGCGGCAAAGUUGCAUAUACAGGGCGUAACAAAACAAAGGAGAGAUUUUUAACGAAAUGGACUCGAGGAUUAAAUGAUAUACGCAUCAAAAUUCCUCUGAACCACCAACAAAAGUUCUGUGAUUUGAGGGUCUUCCAAAAGGAGAAGAACACUGAAACAUCCAGAUAACUCCGGAACAAUGAUUUUAAGCAAACACAAAAAAAGAAAAAAAAACAAAAACCCGCAACGGAGCAGCAAAUCGAUCAAUCAUUACGAAUAUCCACUACCGAAUGCGCCGAGAUCAAAUUUUGCGGGACUAAAAACACUUCAAAAAUCCAAAUCUCUCAAGAAACCACUCGACCAACAGAUCACACAUCGACCACAACAAUCCCCACAAAACAUGACGAGAAACCGCGAUCUCACCUCUGAGCCCCCCGUCGGCACACGAAUCAGAAACCCUAGACGACCUCCCCGCCCCCAAAACCCAUCAUGGGGAACGAAUCACCGCGAUCCAAAUCGAAUCCAGAACCCUAUUCGAUCGCUCUCCCUCGAUCGCAAGAAACUCGCGGAGCCAAACCCUAAUACUCUCUCUCUCUCUCUCUCUCUCUCUCUCUGUGAAGGGGACGGAUCUCACGGGGGCGAUUAAAUGGAGUUGAGAGAGAGAAUGGGGUUGGGAGUGAAAAGGUGGGGGACAAGAGAAAAAAAAGGGAAAAAAUAAAUAAUUUAAUUAAUUAAUUUAAAUAAAUGAAAAAUAAAAAUAAUAAAAUAAUAAAAUGGGUUGGGGAAGGAAAAAGAGAUGCUGAGGCUGCUAACGCUUAUCCCCGCCCCACGCCCAUGGCGGCGAGUUGACUUUCCGUUCCGUUGCAUUUGACGGCGCUCUAACGGCGACGGCGUCGAAGCACCGCCCCGGGAGUAAACGGCCGUUAAAAGCCAGGCAACUUUGGAGAAUCUGUUGCAUGGACCGUGGUCCACCGUGGACCCUCACUGUGAGGUAGAUUUCUGGAGAUGCUUCGAUUGCAUUCUGGACGAGGGUAUGUUUAUUUCACCGAAAGUAAAAUAUUUUUAUAUAUUAGAAUUUAAAUAAAUAUUUUUUUUUUCACAGUUUUGUUUGUAAUGCUAUGGAGCUGAAGUUUUUUCUAAUUUCGUUAUUUGUUUCACAGAAAGUGAAUGAUGAAAAAAAUUAAAAGGGGUAGGAGAUGGUUAAUUUUUUGUUUUUUUUCUUAAUUAAUUUCAAUCUAGAAUGCCUCCAAAUCAAUUAUAGUAUUUUGAAAAGUUUAAGUUUGAAUCAAAAGUGAAAUUAUGGUGAAUUAAAUAAUAGAAGUAAACAGUUAGGGUUGAAAAGGUGAAAAUUACUUCAUCCUACUCUACUUUUGGCACAUCAUAAAUUACAAGCGGCAAAUGAUUUAAUGGUUGGUAUUGAAGAUUUCAAGUUCGAAGUCUUAUUGCUUCAUAAUUAUAAUUAAAUUUAUUUAAAAAAAAAAAGCGAAGUAGUAGCAUGCUAUCAUUCUCUCUCUUAAGAAAAACACUUCGUAAAUUGCACCACUCGCCAUUAUUCUUUUAGCUAUAUUUUAUUUGUCUCUAAACUUUUAAAUUUUUAAGACUAUUUAUAUAACUUAUGAAUUAUGAAUCUUGAACGAAUUUAGAGUGCUCUCCAUAUUUUGCUGGGAGAGAGAGUUCCACAGUACCUUUAUAUUAAUUACUCUGAAAACUGCCGUAUAUCUCCUUUUAACUUAUUUUACUUCUUACGCUCCUUUUUUUAUCUUGGGCUCCGGCCUUCCAUUAGCGUUAUUCUCUCUCCUAAUUAAUUGGUUUGGCAUUCAUCGUAUUUAAUAAAAAGGUUAAUUGCAUACAGUUUUCACUAAAUAUAACGAAUUACAAAUUCAACCCUAUAAUGUUCUACUCUCUUAUGUUAUUCUAAUAAAAAUCCUAAUGUUUUCAAAUAUGCAUCUGCGGGAUCCGUUAAAAAAAUUUAGUUAACCAUUAAUAAAAUACUUAAUUAUGAUUAGUCGAUUAGGUAAAUUAAUAUUUUUACCGCUCUGAUUGUACCCUCUUUUCUCAAUUAAAAUCCUAGCGAUGUAAACUCUUCUUCUUCUUGUUCUUCUUCUUUCUUUUUCUCUUUCUUUCUUUCAUGUUAGUUUUGAAUCCGUAACUAGAAUUUUUUCGUCCCCAUUCAUCCAGAACGCGUGUUGCUUCCUUAUUCAAUUUACUUUAUAAUGUUUUCUUAUGUUGCUAACAAGAGGCUGCGGUGGAAUCGGUUGGAUUUUAAUGAGCAAGAAGAUGAAGAAGAGGAUAAUCAUUAAAAAUUUUUUGUAGACAUUUUUGUACGAUUAUAGCAGUUAGGAUUUUUGGAGUGAAAAAAUAAAUAAAUUUCCAACGGUAACAAAUCAGAGAAAAAAAAUAUGAAUAUCACUAAAUUUUUACAUAAAUAAUAUAAAAAAAUUAAACUUUAUAAAAAUAUAUUUGUAAUUUAUUAUAUUUACAGAGUAUUAUGAACUCGAAUCAGCGCGACUUAACAAAAAAAAAAACCCUUAGUAAUAGGCCGUAGGCCGCUCUUUCCGCUGGAGCCGUUAAAUUAGUAACGGUAACAGGGUGGACUCCGUUACGAUCGUGGCCUCCGUAACGGCUCUCCGUUUGUCCCCUCGCGUGGCAUCGAAGCUUCACAUCUCUGAGCAACAAUUCGUGUGUGUGAACCGCGGUAAAAUGUUCCCUCAAACUCAUCGUUCUCAUGCUGACGUGGCACGCGACCUUUCCACGUGGCAAUAGAUAACUCACCCAUUGGUCGGAUUCUACAUUGAAAUUGUUCCCGCGGAGCACGUUAACAUACACAGUUUUUGGUGUUAAAUUAUAUCGAGACCCCUGUACUAUAGUAAAUUCUGAAGUAGACGCCUGUAUCAACUUUUGAUUUUUUUUUUUUUACAAUGGGGUUAAUUUCAUAGAGCUCCCCGUAAACAUAUCGAAUAGCAAAUAUAUCCCUACAAAGUUUAAAUUUUUAUAUUUAUCUCCGCAAAAGUCCGAUGAUAUUUAUAUUUGCCUCUCAGGUUUAUUACUGUUAGAGCACUAUUUAUUUUUUAACAGAAAAUAAAUGAAAUGAUAUUUUUGUCAUCACAAAUAUGUGCUUUAAAAAGUCCCAACUAUUAAAAUUACGCAGAAAUAUCCUUCAAAAUAUCUACGAUGAUCAUCUUCUUUUUUUUCUACCAUAACAAAUAAUAUAAGAAGGGUAAAAAAGUCAAUUUACCUCAUUUACUAAACAGGGUUACGUAUUUUAUCUAUGGGUAACUAUAUUUUUCUAACGGAUCCUAACAGUAGGAGUAUAUUUGAAAAAGUUAGAACUUUUAUAAAGAUAAAUAUAAAAAGUUAAACUUUGUAAGGAUAUAUCUGCUAUUUGAUAUGUUUACAGAGAGUUGUAUGCAAUUAACCCUUUUUAAAUUAAAUAAUCUCAGCAAAAUAAAUCAAAAAUUUUAUUAAAUUAUUUAAUGAUUAUAUGAAAUUAAAUAAUUUAAACUACUUUGAGGAGAGUAAAAUCAGAAUAAUUAACCGUUAAAAAAUCUAGAUGAGAUAUAAAAUUAGGCAAGGCGUUUAAUUUAACUAACCAUGAAAUUUAAAUCAUAACAAUAAUAAUUAAAAGUUAAAGAAAAGUUAACAAAAAAAAUUAUGAAGUAAUAAUGUCUAUUUUUAUAAAUUUUUUGAAAUUACAAAUGUUUCUCUAUUAAGUUUUAAAUGUAUAGAUUUAUCUCUAUAUAAUGGUUAAUAUCAUUUAACUAUUAAAUUUUUAUCAUUUGAUUGGUAUACAUACAUUAAUAAAGAAUAGAUUUUUUAGAUUUUUAAGAAUUUAUAAUUUAAAAUUCAUCUAGAACAGUGUGAUUGUUAGAAAAAAAAACUUAUAGUGCAUAAUUUAUCAGUUAACCGGUGGACAGAGAUAUAUUUACAAAUGGCUUUAAAUUAUAUUUUUGGUCCACAAAUUACGAGGCACAUGACGCUUGAGUUUUUAAACUUUAAUCUAUUAUAAUUUAUAUCUCCAUUCUUUAAUUUUUUAAAUUACUGUAAUCAAGUUUCAUAAUCUAAUUUAGAGGACUAAAUACUGAUAUAUUUUUAAUACAAAAAUAAUAUAAUAAUAUUAUAAUUAAUGACAUAGUAAUAAUUAUAAUUUUACAUUAUUUUUAUUAAAGUGACAUGCUAUAUUUAGUAAACUAAAUUAGGUUGCAGGACUUUAUUAUAAUAAUUUAGAACGUUAAAACAAAUUAUAUAAUUUUGAAGGGAUAUAAUUACAAUGUACAAUUUUGUAGUUUUGUAGGGACACAUAUGCAAUUAACACUUUUUUUUUUUUUCCUGGUAAUAGGUUGGGGUGUUUUCGAUAAUCUCACCCCCACCUCGUUUUUAAUGUUAAUAAAUGCUGUGAAAAGGUGAGAAAUGCAGAGCGUGUGGUUUGGAGAAAAAAGGUGUGAUGAUAACAGCCCCCACGCUCGCGUUAUCAAUGUUAGUGCCAAUCCUAAUGACUAAUCUACCCCUUUAAUUAGUUGAUUAUUAUGAUUAUUAUUAUUAACAUUGUGAAGGACAAAAAUUUAAAAAUAAUUUUUUAAAACAAUAUAAAAUUUAUCUAAAUUAUAAACUGUUUGGGUCCCGAUAUCCAAUUUUUAAAAAUUUUAAUUCUACUAUCCAACAUUUCGAUCAACUUGAUUUGAAUGAUUUAAUAAACUUAAAUCUGAAUUAAAUAUUGCUUAAUUUAAUAUAUAUAUAUAUAUAUAUAUAUAUGCAUAAAAUAACAUAAAAUAAUAAUUAUUCUAUGAGCCUGAUGGAAUUUAAAUUUAGAUGUCAUAUAAAAUAAUUUGAAACAAUUAUUUAUCUUCAAAAAUAUUAACUCUCAAAUAUAAAGUUUUAUGAGCAGCUUAAAUUUUUUUUUUAGAAAAAGUAGCAAGCUACCUGCUUUAUUCAUUAAAAGUAUGAACUAGACUACAGAAGUGAGGCAACUCGGGCCUUUAGAAAAAAAAAAAAUAAAAAAUAAAAAAAAAAUAAUGGACUGGUCGUAAGAGGGGUUCCCAAGACUUCAGUAGCUGCUUAAUCCUAUGAACACCCACAACAGGGUCAAAAUGGACAUUUCGAAAGAUCAAAUCGUUCCUGGCCUUCCAAAUGGUCCACCAGCAAGCGACCAAUUCAGGUAAGCUAUUCUGUUUAAUAUGCAUCCCUUUCUUGGCCGACCACCUAUCCCAGAUGUAACGUACAUCUUCUCCUAUCUCCCCAGCCUGAACUCUCUCUCGAAUCAUCACCAUGCAGAGUUGGUAACAACGCAUUGAGAGAAUAGGUGGUCCACUGUCUCCUCAUAUACCCUAUACAGCACACAACCAGAAUCUCCGGUCUAGCCUUUCUUCACAAGGUUAUCAGCUGUAAGAGGCUUCUUCUUAAGGACCAGCCAACAAAAUACUUUAACCUUGAGGGGAAUUUGGAGCUUCCAGAUCUUGGAAGCGUGCCCAUCUCUUGUACCCCCAUCACUCAACGCUCUGUACACCGAUUUGACCGAGAAUACUCCGUUGUUACUCCAUCUCCACCCAAUCGUGUCAGGACUUUGCACUACUCUAUAGUUGCCAACCCUUUCCCUUAGUGCAAAUAGGUUGGAACCCGGUCCAGUAUUAAUGUUCGCCACGUCGCUUACACCAACUAGAAUUCUAUUCCAAUUCCAAUCAUCACUUCCGAAGCAAUCCUUGACCGUUAGUAGCUUGCAAUCCGUCAUCACGUGGAUUCCCGGAAAUGAUGAAAGUAAGGUCAUUUCCCCACACCAUCGGUCCAACCAAAAGUCAAUAGAGCUCCCAUCACCCAACUUAUACUAAAUUCCCCAUUUGAAAAUAUCUUUAGUAAGAAUAACUCCCUUCCACCAGUAUGAGUGUGGUCUGAAGAAUUUUCCCUCCCUCAUGGGUCGCCUUCUAUUGUAAUAUAGAGCGCGGAUAAUCUUGGUCCACUGAAGGUGGGGUGCUAUAUAAAAUCGCCACCACCAUUUGACUAGUAGUGCCUGAUUCAUUAUUGCUACAUUCAAAAUAUCCAGCCCACCUUCCAUUUUGCUCGCGUAGACGUUUCUCCAUGCCACCAAACAUUCCUUACCUGCAGAGUUACGCUCGUCGCUCCAGAAGAAGUCUCUGCGUAAGGCUUCAAUACGAUUGAUCACCCAUUUAGGUGCUUUGAACACUGACAAGAAGUAAAGCGGUAGAUUUGUAAGGACAUCGUUAGUCAGGAUAAGUCUAUCCCCUCUAGAUAAGAGUUUAGCUUGCCAUCCGUUGAUUCUAUUUUGGAUUUUCUAAAUGAUCCCUCUUCAAACCUCCUUUGUUGGGGGUUUAUGGGAAAGGGGAAACCCAAGAUAAGUGGUAGGAAGGGUCCCAACUCGGCACUCGAGCAAUUUUGCCAGUUUUGCCGCUUUGCCCUCAACCUGUCCAAGGUAAAAUAGUUCUGACUUUUCUCUGUUUAUUUUCAACCCUGAGGUUCACUGGAACAUGUACUACAUCAGCCUUAGAUUUCUCAUAUAACUUUUUCUAACCACAGAGAAGAAGAAGGUGUCAUCCGUGAACUGUAUUAGGGUAGUUCUACUCUUGUCGAUUGCUGAUAAUUUUUUUCAUGAUAGAAAGUUAAUAAUAUCUAUCAACUUAAUAAUAUUUUAUAACUACUAAUGUUUAUUUAUUUAAACCAAUUAUAGUGAACAUGGGAUGCUCGUAACAUUUACAGAUUAAAUUAAAUUAAAAUUUAAAUAUUAAGUUAAAUUGAAUUCUAACUUGUAUUUUGAAUUUAAAUGGUUAUUGAUGACCAGAUCUAAUUUUCAAUUAAUUUAUUUCCAAUUUAGUUUAGUUACACCAUAAAUAUUUUUUUAUAUGUGUUGCAUAACAUAAUUUUUUAAUAAAUAACUAAAAUUUAAAAUUUUAGAUUCAAAUUUAUGAAUCAAGCUCAAAUUUUAAAUUUAAUUCAUAGUCAUGAUAUUGCAUUUUAAAAGUAUUUUAUUUUUCAAACCGAAUUUAUUUUUUAUUAGUUCAUUAUUAUUUUUUUAAUGUGUAUAAAAUUAUUUGUUAUUUUAUCUUAAAUUUUUAUCCAUUAUUAUUAUUAUUAUUAUUAUUAUUAUUAUUAUAUAUACUAGUUGAGUAUAUGUGCAAAUGUACGUAAUAAUUAUUUUAAUUUAUUUGAAAUUGAUAUAAAUUUGUAUAUCAUAUUCACCCAAAUUUACAAUAAAAAUUAUAUUUUUUAAAUUUCUAUGUUAUAUUUUAUUAGAAAAUAAUUAUAAUNACCCAAAAGUUUAAUGUCAAAAAGUUUUUUUCCAUUUGAAAACGAUAAUAGCUAUUAAAAUGAGCUUUCUUAUAAAAGCUUUAACUAAUACUAAGCUUUAAUUUAUAUCUUUUGUAAAAUUCUACUAGAUUCAAAAUUUACUUUUUUGGCAUUUAAUUUAUUUUUUACAGUUAAAGUAACACCAGAUGACAAAAUGCAUCUAUUUCAUAUAUUUAUAAAAGUUCAGAAAAUAUAAAGCCUGCUUUACAAAAAUAAAAUAAAAUGCAGAGUACAUUUUCCCUAUGCAAUUAGGAAGAGAACUAAAUUGCGAAGUACGAUAUAUUCAGGGCGUUGUGUGCAAUUUUGCCAUUAAGGAAUUUCCGUACGGGUUCCGCAUGCGACGGGUUCCCGCAGAGUAGUUUAUUCUGCGGAAUCACGGGGUGUUUUUUUUUUUUUUUUUUGGUUAUGCGCUCGCUCCGAGGAAUUUAAUUCGUGUACCUCCGUGUCCCUUUCUCGUGCGCCACGUGACAGGGGUAUUUUCGUCCGAACGGAGCUUUUUUACUAGGUGGAGCCACGUGUACUUUGCAACUUCGAAAUCGGAAUUACUCCGUGGACCGGGUCCACCACGCCAGCUAAGAACACUCUUUUUUUGGGAAAACUUCAAAAACCCCCUAUGUGGUUUCGUAUUUUCUCACUUUGCCUCCCUGUGGUUUAAAAUGUAUCAAUUUGCCUUCCCGUGAUUUCUUUUUUCUUUUUUUCUUAUCAAUUUCAUUAUUAUUUUUUCUUAAAUCAGUGAUAAAGUUAAAAUUAAUGGGUACUAAAGUGAAUAUUUGAUAAAUCUAGAUAGGUAUCUGAAAUUUUUUGUAUAUAAUUUAAUGAAAUAUUAACGAAAAAGCUACCGAAAAGAUAAAAACGAAACCACAUGGGGGCAAAGUGAGAAACUACGAAACCACGGGUUCUUGAAGUUUUUCCCUUUUUUUUCUUUGGCACAUUGCACUUUGGUUUUUCAACUUUAAGUUCUAUUUUCAAUUUCAAUAUUCUAUAUUAUUUUUAUAUUUUUUAAUUUCUCAUUAAUCUAAAAUUUAAGUAUAUGUUUUAAUCUAAAAGUAUCAAAAUUUAAUUCACAUUUAUUUUAAAAUUUUAAAAUUUAAUUUUGAUCCAUUGUAACUAAAAUUUUUUAAUUAUUUAUUCAAAUUUGAUAUCAAAAAUUAAAUUUAAUUCAUAAUUUAGACUCAAAUUUUAAUUCUAAUAUAAAAUAGAUGCAUAUUAAUGCUAUUUUUAACAGAUUGAUCAUAACCGUUCAUUUUUAUUUUAGAUAUUUUUUAAUAAAUUGAUCUAACUGUUUGUAGGAUUAGAUUUAUAAAUAGAUAGAGAUAUUAUUUUUAAACAGAUUGAUCAUAACUGUUCAUUUUUUAAGAUAAUUUUUAAUAAAUUAAUCAUAACCGUUAAUAGAAAAUAUUUUAAUUUUGUCUGUUAUCGUAAGAAUUCUUAUACAGUUUUAUAUAUAACUAAUUGAUUGUAUGUACAAAUGCACAUAUAAUUAUUUUAAUUUAUUUCAAAUUAAUAUAAAUUUGUAUAUCGUAUUUGUUAAAAAAUUUACAAUAAAAAUUAUAUUUUAUAAAUUCAUAUGUUGUAUUUUAUUAGAAAAUAUUUGUAAUAUUAUUUUUUAUACACAUUAAAUAUUUUUAUAUAUUUUUUCAUUUUUGAUGAAGCUAAAUUUAAAUAUGUGUUUUAAACUGAAAGCAUCGAAAUUUAUUUCAUAUUUACUUUAAAAUUUAAAUUUAAAUUUUGAUUCACUGUAAUUAAUUUUUUAAUCGGUAAUUAAAAUUUGAUAUCUAAAAUUAAAUUUAAUUAUGAUUUAAACUCAAAUUUAGUUUAAUAUAAACUAAAUGGAUGUGAAUGCUGUUAUUAAUAGAUUGAUCAUAACCGUUUGUUUUUAUUUAAAAUAUUUAUUACCGAAUUGGUCAUGGGAUUAGAUCUAUAGAUGGAUCGAAAUGUUAUUUUUUAAUAAAUUGAUUAUGACUAUUCGUUUUUAUUUGAAACAUUUUUUAAUAAACUGAUCAUAACUAUUUAUGUAGGAUAUUCAUUUUGUUUGUUUUUGUCGGUGAUUCUAGAAAUUUCUAUAUACUUUUAAUAUAGAUUUUGAUUUUGAUGGGUCAAAUUUGGAAUAAAAAAUAGUUUAGGACUUUUUCGAAGCAAAUGAGAAUAUUAUGAAGUGGGUCCCCAGAAAAUGAGUGAUCCACACCGUCCAUUGUAAACUGUCCACGUGGACGCGACAAAAUGCGGUACAGCGAAUACGCAAUACCCGCGGUGGGUAAGAAUCGCAGAAUCUGGAAGCCGCUACGGUACGGGCCAUGCCCGCAUGCGGACGCAUUCGAUCCACCGUUCAAAAUCCCCAUACUCAAUUUCCACCGUUCACUGCCUGAAUGGUGGGUUUAGAUAUUUGGGAAUUUCCGCCAAAUUGCAGAAAAACCCCUAUAUGUAUAAUAUUUUGAAAUUUAAUCCACUCAAUAAAAUUUAGAAAAAAUUUCUUUAUUUUAGUGAUUUGUUGCCUAACUCUUUUACACAAUUUUUUUUUUAUAAAAUAUAAAAAUUCUUAAAUUUAAUUUUAAAUAUGAAUUAUAUAUCUUAUAUGGUAGGACAGUAAUGCCCACAUUUUUUCGCCAUGUUAACCUACAUAAAAUUUUUUUCGUAAUAUCAAUUUUUCUAAUAUAAAAAAUAAAAAAAUAUAAUAAAUUAUUUAAAACAGAAGAUAAUAGUAGGAUGGUUGGAUACUAGUUAGUUAUUUUUUUAUUUGUGAUUAUUCUAAUAUUGCGUAGAUAAUAAAAUUGUAGAAAUAAUAGAGCGAGAAAAUGUGUAUUCUUAUGUAUUUUUUGUGCAUUUUUAUGUGUUAAGGAGUGGCCUCCGAUUUUUUUUUUUUUUUUCAAAAUUUAAUUUUAAUCUCUAUUCUUUGAGAGUAAACUUAAUAUUGUCCCCAUUAUUAUAGGUAAAAAAAAUAUAUAAUUUACUUAAAUUAUGAAUUAUUUUGAUUUAGCUACUCAAUCUUUAAAAAUUUUGAUUGUACUGCCUAGCCUUUCAAUUAUUUGAUUUCGGUCAAUCAAUAAUACUUUUACUUUAAAAUUUAGGUUAAUUUACUUAUUUUAAUAAAUUUAUAAUGACGAGAAUUAUAUAGAGUAUAGUAACUAAAUGUACAAAAAUAAAUGAUACAUUCAAAUUUUUGAAGCUAAAAAAUAUUGCUGACUAACUCAAAUUAAAUAAAUUGAAGGAUUGAUUAGUAAAAUUAAAAUUUUGAAAAAUUGAAUAGCCAAAGUUCUGUUAUGUUUUUACUUUUAUUAUAAAGUCAAAUUGACUUAUUCUAUCAUCGAGUUUAUCAAUAAAAAAAUAAUAUCUAAAAUAUAUUAUUAUUUUUUAUAAAAAAUUUAGAAAAAACUUUAAAUACUAUUUCUGUGAUUUUACACUUUCUCACUUCAGUACUCUGUGAUUUAAAGUGUAUCAAUUUAAUAUCCUGUGGUUUGAUUUUUAUCUUUUUUAUAUAGAUUUCACUAAUUUUUUUCGUUAAAUCAAUGACAAAGUUAAAACUAAAGGGUACUAAAGUGAAUUAAUAUUCGAUAAAUCUAGGUGGGGUAUCUGAAGUUUUUUAUAUAUAAUUUAAUAAAAUAUUAACAGAAAAACUGACGAAAAAAUAAAAAAUAAAAUCACAGGACACUAACUUGAUACGCUUUAAACCACACACUACAACAGAAUUAGGUUAUAGGGACACAUGUUUGGGACACUUUUGAGUAAGUGUCCAAUUUAUGCUAAAACUUAAAAAAAUAUCUGCUAAUGCCUAAAUAUAAAGUCCAAUCCAACCAAAAAUAAAAGAUUACUCUACUCAACCCACCACACCCAGUCCAUUUGGCCCGAUUACAAACAGAAAAGAAAAAAAAAAAGAAAAAUCAAUUGUCAUCUUUUCUUCUCUCUUCACUCAAUCCACUGAAAUUCUAGACGAAAAGCCUUUCCUAUCGUCCUCCUCCGCCACCGCAGCCAACGAGAUAGAGUUUCGGUGGUUGCUAAAUGCUUAAAUAAGUGUUGGUAAAUUAGCAGCACUCUUUUAGGUUAUAGUGACACUCUUUAACUGUCACUAUAUACCUAGCGACUCCACAUAUAGCAACACUUUUUAAAAGUGUCGGUAAUUUUAGUUAACAUCACUUUUUUGACAUGUACCUAUAUUUAAAAGUGUCACUAUAGACCGUUUUUGUUGUAGUGACAUGAUACUGAAAUGAGAACGUGCGAAACCACAUGGAUGGUAUUUGAAGUUUACCCAAAAGUUUAAUGUCAAAAAGUUUUUUUCCAUUUGAAAACGAUAAUAGCUAUUAAAAUGAGCUUUCUUAUAAAAGCUUUAACUAAUACUAAGCUUUAAUUUAUAUCUUUUGUAAAAUUCUACUAGAUUCAAAAUUUACUUUUUUGGCAUUUAAUUUAUUUUUUACAGUUAAAGUAACACCAGAUGACAAAAUGCAUCUAUUUCAUAUAUUUAUAAAAGUUCAGAAAAUAUAAAGCCUGCUUUACAAAAAUAAAAUAAAAUGCAGAGUACAUUUUCCCUAUGCAAUUAGGAAGAGAACUAAAUUGCGAAGUACGAUAUAUUCAGGGCGUUGUGUGCAAUUUUGCCAUUAAGGAAUUUCCGUACGGGUUCCGCAUGCGACGGGUUCCCGCAGAGUAGUUUAUUCUGCGGAAUCACGGGGUUUUUUUUUGUUUGGUAGCGCUCGCCCUCCGAGGACAGUAAUUCGUGUACCUCCGUCUCCCUUUCUCGGCGCCCACGUGACGGGGUUCUCCGAUACGGGAAGCUUUUUACUAGUUACCACGGGUACUUCAACUCGAAAUCGAAUACUCGUGACCGUCUCACCACUCCACUAAGAACACUCUUCUUUUUGGGGAAAAACUUCAAAAACCCCCCUAUGUUGUUUCGUAUAAUUCCUUUGGCUCCCUGGUUUAAAUGUAUAAUUUGCCUUCCCUGAUUCUUUUUCUUUUGUCUUAUCAUCAUUAUAUAUUUCUAAAAGUGAUCGAAAUAAGGGACAAAGUUGAAUAUUUGAUUAAUACUAGAUAGUAUCUGAAAUUUUUUGUAUAAAUAAUGAAUAUUUACAAAAAAAAGUACGAAAAGUAAAAACACCCACAUCGGGCCAAAGUGACAAAACUACGAAACCACCGGUCUUUGAAGCUUUUUCUCCUUUUUGUCUUUGGCGACUUGCACUUGGUUUUCAAACUUUAAUUGUUGUCAUGUUCAAUUUCAAUAUCUAUAUAAUUUGUUCUCACUUAUGAAUGGCAAUAUUUUAUCUUAAAUUAAUGUAAAAUAUUUGACUCGAUUAUUUAAUUAUAGUAAUAACUCUAUAAAUCCAAUUUAUUAUUAAAUAUUAAUUAUAUCGAUAUAGUCAUAUAUUCAUCUAGCUUAUCUUGAUUAUCAAUAUAAAUUUAUAUCCAUUUACUAAGGAUUAGCAAACACAUCAUAUUCAGUCAACUAAUUAGAAUUUGAUUGAAUAUUUAAAAGCUUAGCAAACAGUACUCAAAUAAAGUGGAUACCCAAUGCUAGUUUGGCUUCGUCGGUCUGACGAAACAUGUUAACUUGUCCCUAAAUUAUUGAUUUGAUUUAGCUAUUAUUAUCGAGAAAAUAAUUAUUUCAACGAGCGAUUUAUGUACCAUUUUUUAUUCUAAAUCUUACGCCGUCACAUUCAGGCCAUGGUCACCUAUCAAGGUAGUGCCACUUAAUUAUAUUAAAAUAUUAAGAUUGUAAAAAUUAAAAUAAUCAUUUCUACAUAGUUUUUCCGCAAUUAAAACUAGAAUAUACGGUAGCCUUGAAUAUUUGUAGUCAUGGAACCAAAGGUGAACAGGACAAAUCCCAGUUGGAAGUCUUGGGGACAGUCGGACCAAUGUGGUUUUUUUUUUUUUUUUUUUUUUUUUUUUUUCUUUUUUUCCGACAGAAUAAUAACACCUAACUGCGUUGGAUGUUAAUCCCUGAUAUGUGAAAAUAUUUGAAAACGCUUAUUAGGCAAUUGAUUAAACAAUAAAUGUUAAUUUGAUUUUUAAUGAAAUAAAUGAUUAUGAUAUAAACAUGAUAAGUGUUUUUUUUACUUGAUCAAUAUGCACAUUAAAAAAGCCUUCUCCUAACACUCAAGAAUCUGAAUCAAGAAUGAAACAAUUGAUUUCUAAAGCUUUUUACUCUAUUAUCUUGGUAAUUAUUUUAUUUUAAUAAUCUUAAAAAACUCGAACUAAAAUAAAUCAAAGUACCAUAAGUCAAGAUUCACAGAGAAUAUGUAAACUUAUAUAUAAUAAAUGCUAGAUAUCAUAUUUGACGUACUAUUAUCCUAUUUAAUGAUAAAUUACCAAUAACAAAAAAGCACGGAGAUAAGUGCGAAAUUUUCGAAUCACGAUCAAGAUGGAAAUGAGUAAUCAUAGAAGGAGCUAGUAAGCUUAUGCCACACAUAAAAUAUUUUAUGUUAAAAAUAUAAAUGAGUAUUACACUUAUUUUGAAAAAAAAAAAUAGUAGUACCACUUAUUAUUCAUGAUGUACUUAUUUAUUAAUUUAUAUCUAAAAAGAAAGGAUGAUAUAUACUAGUUAUAUCAUAUCAAACUCAAAAAGUGUUUACCCCUAAACACCUAGGACAAAUAUAAGCAUAGAUGCAUGGUUGGUCAAAUUUGAAUAAAUCACAAUAAUACAUUAUUGUAUAAUUAACCAAACCAGGAUAUUAGUGAUCAGCAUAAGAUGUGUCAUAAAUUAAAUUGAAUUGGCUCUAUUCAUCAACACUAACCGUGCAAGAGACAACCACAUAAUACAAAAUCACACAUGAGUAGUAGAGACAAAAUCAAGGGUAAAUAAAUCCUUGGUCAACUUGAUUUUAUAUAAUAUCCCAUUCACCUAAAUUGAAAAUAAUAAAAAAUUAAUAAUGCAUAAGAGCUGCAAAUGCGAACUGAAAUUAUAAAUAAUACAUCAGGGACUAUACAUACAAAGGAAAAAAAAGGAUACAAUAUACUCAGAAGCUAAAUAUACUAAAACGUGGUAGUGGUCACUAAAUAAAACAACAUAAAAACAAAUGGAACCUGAUAAUGCUUCUUCUUAUCUUCUUCUUCCUCUCUCUCCUCCUCCCUCUCCUUUAUAUAUAUAUAUAUAUAAUAUAUAUAAUAUAUAUAUAAAUAAUAUAAUAAAGUGAACACAUGCUAUCCUGGAAACGACUUCCGGCUCCAAGCAGUUUUCGAGUUGCGACUUUCGAAUCGUCGAUCGCCCGUUAAACAUGAUCAGAUUGGAGUAACCUAAAAAUAAAUUUUAUAUUCGCUCUCGAUUUGCUUCGUGAUCGAAUGGGCUCAAAAAUAAUAAUUAUCAAAUGCCGUAGUGACCGUUUCAAAUAACGUGUAGAAAUAUUCAAAUCACGUGAAUGUGGAUAUGGAAAAUCUUUAGACUAUAGAAAUAAGAUCAAUACUUUGAUUAAAAUUUCCAAUUCAUAUAUAUAUUUUGUAAGAUUUUUAUUAUUCAGCCUGUGAUUUGAGAUCCCCUUAAUCGUUCACAUAAGCAAAUAUAAUCAAAAUAAUAAAAUUUGUUCUAGGUAUUUCCAAAUACUCUACAAUCAAUUUAAACGGCAACUCGAUCGACGAUUCAAUCGCAACAUCGAAAACGAGCUGAAGCACAAAGCUCCGUGCUUUCUACAGCAUAUAAGCCUCAACUCUAUAUAAUAAUAAUAUAUAAGAAUAUACUAUAAUAUAAUAUAUAUAUAUAUAUAUAUAUAAUAUAUAUAUGUAUAUAGAUUUUUGUGCAAUGAAAUAUACACUGUCAUCUAUAUACAAAGACCAAUGCAUUAAAAUAAUAUUCCAACCCAUCGUAUGUACGUACUCUCAACCCAAAUGAGUUAAUAUACAAUAUUAACCUGAUCUAAUGAAUAAUGCACUGGUAAGAAACACUACGACACAUUCUUACACCACUGCAUUCCAAUACUUAAACUUUCCUUUCCUUCUUCUGCUUUCUCUUUUGUAUUUUUUUUUGGUUUUUUUAUUUUGUUUUGUUUUUUUCUCUCUCUCCUCACUUUCUCUAAAGUUAUCAUAGCACAUAAUAAGGAACAAAUUUAUGAGCAUCAUCAUUCCUAGCAACUAUCACUUUUUUGAGAUUCGAAUACUCGAUGAACGAUGAAUUUAACAGUUUCAAAGUGGAAAUAAUCUCCAUAAAAUUAAUUUUUUGUUUCGAAGAUCGCUGAUCAACAAUUUUAGUUACUAAAAAAUCCAUUAGUUUUUAAAAUUUCUCAGAGGGUCUUUUAAUUGACGCAAGCAUAAUUUGGUCAUAACUCAGGUUUAGGUAGAAGUAUUUAUCCUACCGCCGACCAUGAUGAAAGACUAAAUUUUGAGUAUUUUUUAUGAAGACGACUUCAAACGAUCUCUCGAUAAAAGUUGUUUUCAAGAUAUUGAGCUGAUCAUGUUGACUUAAAUGAGCCAGCAUCUUAUCCUGUGGCGGGAGGCCAUGUUGGACCGAGUUAUGUUCGAAGUGGCGUGAGACUGGGUAGACCGAGUCAUGUUCGAAGUGGCAUGAGGAUGGAUGGGCCGAGUCACAAUCAAGACACGUGGGCGAUGUAUUUGUACGCUCUAAGUGAAUUUGUUGUGUAUUUCUAAUAGCUCAAAUUUUUGGGAUUAAUGGUUAGCGCCAACGAUCCGACAGAUCUUUUGGCUUGCAGUAGAAAUAUUUUCUUAGCAUAAUUAACUAACAUUUCUGAUGUUUUAUAAAGUUGAUUUAGGGCCAAAUAUUGUAAUUACCUCAUUAAUCCAAACAUGCAUCCCCAUAGUGAGUGAAGAGAUUAAAUCAAAAUUAAUUUUGGGUAGUGCAUAUCAAUUUUGGUGAUGCCAUUUUUGAGUGGUUAAAAAGAAAAAAAAAGAUGCCCAUCAAACUUUGUGUUGUCCAUUAAUUAGUUCCCUUUCAAAAGAGACAUUUGCUUUGUUCCCCACUAUAUAUAUGUAUACACUUAUCAAAAAAGAAACCCUUUUUUGAAGAAUAAUUAAUUGGGAAUUUUUAUCUUAUGGUUGUUAUAUAUAUAUAAUUUGGUGCAUGUGUGAUUUUUUUUUAUUAAAAUGGAUUUUAAUCCAAUUUGACUCAACUUUCGGAAAGUGCCCAACAAGAGGAUUAGGCCAAAUUUCAGGCUAAUUGACCUAGCCAUUAAGUCUAAUUUUUUUUAUUUUAUUUUUUAUUUUGAAAGUGUUCUUGCUGAAUAUAAAUUAUUAAAACAAAAAUCUGAUAAAACAAAUAAGUAAAUAUAGGUCACAAAAAAAGUAAAGUGUAGGUUUUACACGGUCGUAAAAUUGUUUUGUUUUGCUACUAUGUGGUUUUCUCUAUGUACCAUUAUAAGGAAUUAAUGUUUAGUAGAGUAAACAAAAUACUAUAAUUUACAAGCCAGAGAUAAUAAACUUAUGCAUGCUGAUUCCAAUAUAUAUAUAUAGUAGUUGUGUUGAUGCAUUUGAAUUCAAGUGUUAUAGUUGGAACUACACGCGGGAACUAUGUCCCAACUGGCCAUGAUUCCAGCUGCCGCAGUUAGAAAGAGUAAUUUUAAAUAAAAUAAUAAUUUUAUCUUAAUGAUCUUUUAAAAGAAAAAAAAUAUUUUUUCUUUAAUAUUAGAGGUAAUCUCACCGUUCAGUAUAUAAAACAUGAGCUUUUAUCGAUACAAGUUCUUAAUUCCAUACAAUCAAAUAAAUUAUUUAUAGCUUAGCUACAAUACUUAAUUUCUACUACAUCUAAAUAAAAAAGAUAUAUAUAGUUCUAGUUACUCCAUAUAUUUUUAACUGUACGCAUCUUCAAAUAUACUGCAUUUAUAAUUAUAUAUAUCCAAACAAAUGGCUCCUAAAAUUAUAUAUAGUACAGUUACAACCAUGCGCAAGCAAAGAGUGCCUAAUUAUUUAGGAGAAAGCAUAAAUGUCCGUAUAUACUUGCAUUAAUUGUUAAUAGAUCAAUACAUUAAUAGAUUAUUGUCAUCUUUGAAACAUGCCACACAAUGCACUUUUAAUUAAGUAGCACAAUUCUUGAAGCAAUUAUUCGAACUAGUGGAUGGGAUCAUGAAAACGCUACUUGUCACCUCUCAUGUGUUGCAAUAUUGAUACCUAAAACUAUAUAUAUGUAGAAUUUUCUUCAAGUUAACUCCUUUGGACUCAAACUAAUUAAACUCUAAAAGAGAUUAUUAUCAAAGGUUUUAGGCUAAAUUACAGAAAACCCCCCUGUAAUAACCCGUUUUUUCACUUUUGCCCCCUGACAUUUAAAAACCUACACUUUGCCCCCUUGUAAAAUAAAAAAUGUGCACUUCACCCCUACCGUUAGGGUUCCGUUAGGGGUUCUGUUAAAAAAUAUUUUUUUAUACCGAAAAUACCCCUCUGCCUCUUCUCUGAUGCUUCGCUCCCUCCGGCUCGCCGCCUCGCCGCCUCGCCGUCCUCCACUGCUUCGCCCUCGCCCACAUCCCUUUCGUCCUCCUCCGCCACCUCGCCUUCGCCCUCGUUGUCCCUGCUUACCUCUCCAUUAACACCUAUCUUAGUAUCCUCCCUACUGUCGCCGAAAUCGAUGGGCGGCGACGGUGUAGGAGGAGAAGGGGAGUAGGUGGAGAAGAAAUUGGAGAGGAAUCGUGGCCAAUUGAGAUGCAAAUAGCGGCGGAUCGAAGGGGCGGCUGAGGAAGCUCAGGAAGAAGACAACAAUGGCGAGGGGCAAAAUGGUCAUUUUACACACCGUGACCCCCCUGUGAACAUUUUUUAUUUUACAAGGGGGCAAAGUGUAGGUUUUUAAAUGUCAGGGGGGGAAAGUGAAAAAGUGGGUUAUUACAGGGGGGUUUUCUGUAAUUUAGCUAAGGUUUUACCAGAAUCUUCUAGAAGCAUCUACGGGUAUCGAGAUUGCGGAUGCAGAAAUCAAAGAGUUAAAUGUCUCCUAAAGUUUCGAGAAGAUAUAAUAAAUAUCGACUCUUAGGAGCUCAUAACCUUCCGUUUUGACUUGUAGUUUUGUACGCGCGCGCCACUUGGCCUUUUCUAGUUGCUCUUUUGAACAACGAGUGACCUAUAUACACUAGCGGCCUCCAAGCCCUCAAGAUAACUUAGUUGUACUUUUUCACUCUCAAACAAUAGAAUAUUAUAUUCUUUCAAACACUCUCUCUCUUGUAUUUAGUUGUUAGGACAAGUAGAUUCGGGCUAGCAAGCGGAGAGACAUGCUUGCUAAUUUCGUGACUGAAAUCGAGCGUCGCACGAGUUUAACAAAGGAUUUUUGCAUCAGUUUUGUGACAUAUAGGUGAUAAUAUUCGCCGGGCUAGUCUAGUUAUUGUCACCUGAGAAACCAAUAAAGAUGUCAAAGAUUUGAUAUUUUACAUACUACAACAAAAUAUGUUUUAAACUACGCUUCUUAGACGACGCUAUAUUCUAGUAUCUUCAUAUUCGUUCUUUUUUUCACAUGAAUUUAGAAGAUUUGAGAAAAUAUUUUGCAAUUUGAUAGAGUAUUCCGUAAAGUUUUCGGUGAAAACUGUUAAAGUUUUUGUGGAACUUGGUAUCAAUCUUCUUUUGACAACGUUUAGAGUAAACAUCGACCGUUCCUAGCGCAAGUGGCAAAGCGUUUCGUGGUUAGCAUUUAAGGUCUCAAAUUCGAAACCUAGCUGUUUUACAUUUUCAGCUAAGUGUAUUUCAAAAAAAUAAAUGAAGCGUAUAGCAUGCUACCUUACUCUUAAAAAAAAAAAAACUUUUAGAGUAAAGGGUUAUUCAUCAUUUUGGAUCCAUAAACCACAAGUAUCGAGAAGCAAGGGUUACUUAGAAAGGUAAAUUCGUUCCUCACAUUUUUUUGCUCUUUUUUGUACUAAGGAUAAUAUUCAUGCCAAUUCUAAGCUAGGAUUCUUUUCUUACUCUUAUCUAUAAAUAGCUUGCUUUAGUGUUGUUACCGGUGAAAUACCCGCACGAAGCUGCGGAUAUAAAAAUAUUUUUAUAAUAAAUUUUAUUUUUUUAAUAUUUUUAUAUAGGUUUAUAAAUCUAAUUAUUAAUUAAAUAAAAGUUAUAUAAAAAUAAUUUAAUAGUUAAAUCUAUUUAAAUAAAAGCCAUUAAAAUUAGUAUAUGCACAAAGUAAAUUUAUACAAUAAUUUAUUUUAUAAAAAUUUAUAUGAAAAGGAUUUGAGAUAAAUCUAUCAAAAUAAUUAAAAAAAAAUCAAUAAAUAGAAGGAAAAUAAAAUUGUAGAAGAUAUUGUUUAAUAAAAUUAAUAAUAUAUACACACAUACACUAUAUUUUUAAAAUUUUACUCCUGAAACUUAAAUUCCGUAUUUUUUUUAUACAAUGAAAUUUUAUGUGAUUUAAAUUUCAUCUAUCAAAUUAGAUUUUAUUAUGCGAUUUACUAUGUGUAUUUUUAAUAAAAUUAAUUAAUUAUAUUGUAUAAAACUAAUUAUUAAUAAAUUUAAUUAAUUAAUUAAUUUCAUAGAGUUUAGAGAUUUAAAAUUUUAAACUUUGAAGCUUAAAAUUUAGAAUUUUAAAAUUGAAUUAAAAAUUUAAAUAUAAAUAUAAAUUUUUAAAAUUUAAAACUUGAAAAUUGGAAGUAUCAAAAUUUUAAAUUUGAUAUAAAAAUUUAAAACUUUAUUAUAUUAGUAUAAUAUAUAUAUAUAUAUUAUAUAUAUUAUAUAUAUAUAUAUAAUAUAUAUAUAGAGUUGAUUGGAUACUUUUACAAGUAUCAUCCCCAUGUUGCUAUCAUAUUUUUUAGCCCAGUUGAAUCUACUUUUUGAUUACAAAUAGCCCUUGGAUCAACACUAUUCCACCUACACUACCUACCCACUACCACCAUCAUCUCAACCUCACAUCUCUCAUUCCAGGGCUAAAACACACAGUAUCACUUGGUGAACUUGUAAAAGUAUUCUAGCCCUACUCGAUAUAUAUAUAUAUAUAUAAUAUAUAUAUAUAUAUAUAUAUAUAUAUAUAUAUUAUAUAAUAUAUAUAUAUAUUAUAGAGUUUGCUAGAAUAUUAUCGGAGUAGUAAACGGCUCGGUUUACUACGAUUUCGUUUUCGAUGAUAGAGCCUUCCAAUGAUCAUCGGCCACGUUAAACAUGAUCUAAACUAUAUAACUAUAUGAAAAUUCAAAUUACAUAUUUUCGAUAUUGUUCUUUUGUCCAUCAAGUGAACAAAAAAAUGAAUGGCUGAAAUAAAGUCUUCAAAAAGUGAUGAUACAAUUUUUAUAUUUGAGAUCUAGAGUCUAGAUCUUAUUUUAAAUAGUUUAAAGAAUUUUUAACAAAAAUUUAGUUAAUUUGAACUUUUCUAUACCGUUAAACAGACGAAAUGCACCAUAUCGGCAUUAAAAUUAUAGAUUUUGUGACCCUUGAUCGUUCAGUUAAUGAUGCUAAAAAAUUAUAAAAUUUGAUUUUAGAUAAUUAAAUGGUCAAUCAUGUUCAACGGUGCCGAUGUCGAUUUGAAGCGCUAUCAUCAAAAACAAAUCCGGUAGGUAUCGCAGCAGUUUACUACGGAUAGUAGCCCAGUCAAACAUCAUAUAUAUAUAUAUAUAUAUAUAUUAUAUAAAUAUAUAUAUAUAUAUAUAUAUAUAUAUAUAUAUAAUUAGCGCUACUAUACUAUUGGUAGCACGGAGCGCUCCGUGCUACGAGUUGCUUUUGAUGAUGCGGCUUCCAAAUCGACGAUCAGCUCCGUUAGACUUGAUCUACACUAUUGAUAGUAUUUAGAACUAAAAUUCAUAAUUUUUCGAUAUCAUUUUAUCUAUCAAACAAGUAGUCUAAAAUUGAAAUGGCUGCAAAAUAAAAAUCUCAUGAAAAAUGAUGAUAAAAGAUUUAAAUCAAGAUCCAGAUAUACUAAUUCUACUCUAAAUAGUGAAAAGAAUUUUCUAUAAAAUUUUUCAUCGCAUUUGGAUUGUUUUACACCGUUAAACUCCAAACACACCACAUCGGCCAUUAAAUUUUCAAUUUUGAGAUCUUUUGAUCACUAGUCAAAUGAUGUCGAAAAAAAAUUAAAAUUUAGUUUCUAAAUACUUUCAAUAGUGUAGACAAGUCUAACGGAGCCGAUCGUCGAUUUGGAACCGCAUCAUUGAAAACAACUUGUAGCAGCACGGAGCGCUCCAUACUACCAACACAUAGUAGCCGGACUCGUAUAAUAUAUAUAUAUAUAUAUAUAUAUAUAUAUAUAUAUAUAUAUAUAUAUAGAGGGAGAGAGAAGGGGAGUUUGGGGGGACACGUGUCACCAUGUGGUCUCCAAACCCUCCUUUAAUAUAGUUAGAUAGAUUAUUAUUAUAAUUAUUAUUUUUAAAAUUAGGGCAAUUCCUUGGUAGCAUAUCCUUGGCAUAGAACAAUGUACAACUAGCAUAAAGUUGCACGUACCAAAAAAGAAUAAAAAAGAAUUAAAAAGAAAAGAAAAUGGCCUCAUCAGCAUUGUCCCAUGUAGUGCUCAUCACCCAACACGUUUUUCUUUUUCUUUUGGGUGACAAAGUUAUAUACCAAAUGCUAAAUUUGAGCAAUAUGUUACAAAUCUAUGCAAAGUUAGUUAAGUUAAAUGGCUUUUAAUCUAUGUACAUAUCUUGACCAAAUAAGCCUAGCUACCAAACUAGCUAGCUAGUUAUUAGGGGCUAUAGUUUAGACCUAGAUCGAGACGCGAUAGAUGAAGUGCUGUUCGAGCAGUACUUUAAAUUGAAUCCUCACUUUUGAUUUUAUUAUUACACUUCAACUUUCCUCUAAGAUAACGAUCUAUAUAUAUUUUAUUCAGCUUGCAUGAAAUAUAUUAAAAAUAACUGCAGCUAAAAGUAAAAUCAAAAGUAAUAUCUAAAAAGACCCUAAUUAGUUGUCGAUUUAAAGAUCCAGUAUAUACAUAUACUUAUACUUCGAGUACUGUAAAAAUUAGUUCUAAGAUUCUAAAAUUAGCUGUUAAUUAUAUUGGACAAACUUUUCCUAAGAACAAAAAUAUUCAUGUUUUGCAUUAAUAGGAUUAGCUACUAAUUAACUAGACUUGUUUAUUGUUUUGACCCUUUUUUUUACUCUAUUACACCUUUAAUUUUAAGGCAAAUUUAGGAAAUAAGGUUUUAGCUUAGAUGGACAAAGAUAAUAGUUCUAGUACAAUGGGGACAACUAAGAGCCUAUGUAAUAUAUAAUAUAUAUUAUAUAUCCAGGUAUCAACUACUUUAUAAUUUAAUAAGUAUAUACUUAUCUUAAGUGUUACAUAUUUAAUCAAGUUAAUUAAUAUAUUCUACAUGUUUUGACCUAACGAACCAAAAAAGCAUGAUUCUAGCCUUUUCUCCUCUUGCAUUAUCCAUAUAUAUAAUUUAGUCUUUGUUAAAGCAACGACCAUUCGAUUUUAACUUGGACUCUUUGAACUUUGAUAUCAUGUAGAAUUUGAACUCGUACUCUUUAAUUAGCUCUGAUAUCAUGUGAAACAACUGAUUUUAUCUAAAAAUUAUUAUGUGAAAUAAUAAAUUUUUUUUUCUAAAAUCUUAUGUUGCUGAAAAUCUGCAGAGUUUACAUGUGAAUAUUUUCCGGUCAAAUGUAUAAAAAGAGACAAAUUAAAUGGUCCAUAUACUAAUGGAUUUAGAGCUAAUGAGCUUUAAGUUAUUAAUUAGGUUGAAUAAAUUAUAUUAAAUUUGUCACAUAUUUUGAACCCGUAUGGGCCUGGAUUGAAACUGAAACUUGUAAAUUUGAAUCCCAUCAAGUAGAUAUAUAUAUGUAAAGGAUGAGGCUAGUAUGCUUCUGGAAGCUGCUUCCAAGUCGUUUUCGAUGUUGAAAAUUUUGGAUCGAUGAUCGGCUUCUUUAGACUUGAACUAAAGUAUUUGAAAUAUUUAUAAAUAAAUUUUGUAAUUUUUUGAUAUCAUUUGCCUAGUGAUCGAAAGGGCUCAAAAUCAACCGCUGAAAAUAAAAAUCUUACAAAAUGUGAUGAUAUAACAUUAAAAUUUUAUAUCAAAGAUAUUGAUCUUAUUGUAUAUAGUAUAAAGAAUUUUCUAUCAAAAUUUCACUUGAUUUGGAUAUUUCUACACCGUUAAACUUGCAAACGCCUCAGCAUGGUCAUUAAAAUUAUUAAUUUUGAGUUAUUCGAUCAUUAGGCAAAUAAUAUCAAAAAAUCAUAAUAUUUAUUCUAAGUAUUUCGAAUACUCUAGAUUAAAUUUAAUAUAGCCGAUCGUCGAUUCAAAAGUUCCAACAUUGAAAACGACUUGAAAGCACGGAAGGUGCCGUGCUUCUAAAAGCAUACCAGCCCGGCCCAGUCUAUAUGUAAAAUCAUUAGUAAGUGAGAAUUUUUCACAUUCCAACUUGAAAGAGACUCUUAACAUCUUUAAACCUACAUAUGAAGCCUAUAUAUACAUCGACAAAACCCAAGAUUAUAUUACACAAAAAUAAUUCAAAUUAGGUACAAGUUUCAACAUAAUAUAUUAAAUGCAUUAUUAUUAUUAAUUAUCAUAAAAUUAUGGUGGGAUGAGCUAUAAGAUCACUACAAACAUAAUAACCAAGAAAAAGAAAAAAAAAAAUAAAAAUGAAAAGAGAUCACAAUUUAUAAGUACUAAUAACUUGGUAUUUUGAAAAAUAUAGAAGCUCAAUUAUAUAUAUAUAUAUAGGCUGGGGCUGCUAUACUCAUAUGAGUAUAGAGCCCUUUGUAUUCAUAAGUUUUCGACCGUUCAGAAAAAAAAAUAUGCGGUUAGGAUGAAAGUGGUUACGGUUAGGUUGAUAGUGGACCCCCUAGGGUUGAGUGAGUGGUUUGUUGAAUACUAUAAUCUAACGGGUGAAAAUGAUUAAAGGAUAGAUCUAAUUGCCAAAAACUUAUGAGUACAAUAGGCUUUAUACUCAUAAAAGUAUAAUAGCCGGACUCAUAUAUAUAUAUAUAUAUAUAUAUAUAUAUAUAUAUAUAUAUAUAUANGUUGAGUAGGUGGUUGGUUUAAUAGUAUAAUCUAAUGGUUGAAAAUGAUCAAAGACGUAGAUCUAACGGUAAAAAACUUACAAGCACCAAGUGCUUGGUACUUUUACAAGCACCAUAGUCGGACUCUAUAUAUAUAUAUAUAUAUAUAGUCCGGCUGGGAUACUAUCGAUAGCACGAAGUUUUCUGUCGUUAGAUUUACCUCUUUUAUCAUUUUCAUCCGUUCGAUUAUACUAUUCAACCAACCAUCCACUCAACCCUAGGGGCCCACAUCAUCCUAACCGCAUAUUUUUUAAUCUAAGAGCAGAAAACUUAAUAGCAUCAAGUCAUUGAUGCUAUUAAUAGUAUUGCAGCCUAGUUUUAUAUAUAUAUAUAUAGAGAGAGAGAGAGAGAGAGAGAGAGAACAGGACUACUGUGCUAUUAGGAGCACAGUAGCCUUUGUGCUCCUAACUUUCUAACCACCAUAAAGUUUGAUGGAUGGUUAGAAUGAGAGAGGGAGGAGAUAUAGGGGAGAAAUUGGGUGUCUCAAUUUCUCUUCUCCUUAAAUUUUUCUCGAAUAUUUUCUCCCUCUCUCAUUCUAACCACCCAUCAAACUUGAUAGGUGGUUAGAAAGUUAGGAGUACAAGGGCUGCUGUACCUCUAAUAGCACAGUAGCCAUUAUAUAUAUAUAUAUAUAUAUAUAUAUAUAUAUAUAUAUAUAUAUAUAUAUAUAUAUAUAUGUAUUAAUCUCCCUUUGAUCUUCAUCACAUUGUACAAGGACGGUCGAACUACUGCCAACUUAAUCCAUGCCAUCAUCUCUAUAACCACUCUUACUAUUUAUUAUUAUUAUUAUUAUAUAACCAAUAUUUUGCUGCUUUAAUUUUCGUGGUGAAGUGUCAUAUUAAAACAUUCAUCAAAUAUCUGUGUACUUAUUUAUUUGUAGAAGAUAACUUAGAUGAGAAUUCCGAGUAUGUUUGGUAAAGGAUGUAUACGUAGGUUGUUUUGAAAAAGAAACGCACAACAUAAACCUGUACGCACUGUUCAAUGAGAUCAUGCAUGCAUGGGAAGCGUGUGGACUCUUCUCAAACCUUUAAAAAACCAUGAAAAAUCAAUUUUCAAAAAAAAAAUUCUUAAAAAAAAUAUAUAUAUAUAUUUUUAAAUAAUGCGAAACAAUUGUUAUUUCUCUAAAUACUCCAUCUCACUUAUUGCGCGUUCUGAUUCCAUGUUAAAUAAUACGAAAUAUCUAUUAUUUUUUAAAAGGUUAAGCUAGUAAAGAAUGGUAUUUAAAUAUUUUUAUGUUUAACAAAUUUUUUUCUAUAGAUUUUUAUUUUUAUGAUAAAAAAUUAAAGAAGACUUUUUCAAAGUGGGACGAUAAAAAAUGCCUAGAAUUAUUUUUUUCAAAACCAAACACCGCCUAAUUAAAUGGAAUAAUUAAAUUUACAUGUCAAAUUAAUUUUUCGAAUUGCAUUGUAUUAUAUAUUACUCAAAUAUUAAUCCCAUAUUUGGACAAAUUAUAACAUUGUCUUUGUAACCUAACGAAAAAAACAUUAGUCUCGUAUUAGAUACAAAUAUUUACUCAUAUUCUACUUAUUGAUGAAUUGUUAAAAAAUGUAUUGUUGUGCUAUACUAUUAUGUUAAAAUAGAUUUAAAAAGCUAUAUGUUUUGAGACUCGAAAAAAAUAUAUAAAUUGGGAUUCAAAUUUAAGGCCGUGGUUUUAACUAGUGUAAACAAUUCUUGAAGUAAAAUAAAUGUUAAUUAAAUUAAAGUAAAAAAAAAAUGUAUAAUUUCAAUUUAUUAUUAUUUCCAAACGUUUAAACACGCAACAUGUUGAUAAUUAAAAGCAUGGAUGGGCCAAAUUAAUUUGAGCCUUGUGGAAAAAAAAUGGGCUAAAAAUAUUGGACCAAAUUUGGGCCUUUUGAGGCCCAACAAAACUAAUCCCAACAUGUUGGCGAUGACAAAAUUAAAUGGUGUAUUUUAGGUAUGUCAAUAGGUGCGGAUACUCGAAAUUCUAUCUAAAUCCAAACCCGAACCUGAAUCCGAACCCGAAUUCGAAGCUGAACAAGAUAGAUUUAACCGGUGGUGCUAAAUGGGUAUGGUUUCAGUUAUAUGGAUAAAAAACGAAAAUUCAGUGAACUCGAGUUUGAUUAUGGUUUCGUCUGUACUUGAAUAGAACCUGACCCUGAACCGAAACCUGAAACCAAAUCUGUAUAAGAACCUAAUAUGUAAAUAAUAUAACUUUUUAGAUAUUUAUUUUAAUAAUUAACACAUAUUAAUGGUUUAGUUUAAUAUUAGCAUGAGUCCGGCUACUAUGCUAUCAAUAGCACCUAGUAUUUGGUGCUAUCAAGUUUUCCGCUGUUAGAUCUAACUCUUUGACCAUUUCUGUCCAUUAAAUUAUACUAUUCAACCAACCAUCUACUCAACCCUAGAGAAUCACUAUUAUUCUAAUCGCACAUUUCUUUAUCCAAGGGCCCAAAAUCUGAUAGUAUUAACGACUCGAUGCUAUUAAUAGGGGUGGAACUGGGCUUGGGCCUAAACCCUAAUAAACAAAACUAAAAUUGGAAUUUGAUUGGAGCGUUACGUCGAUCAUGUUAUUGAACACACUCUACAAGCAUUGAACAUAAAAUAUUGAAACAAUAGCUUGAAAUAGCUUUAAAAGUUUUUAGUAUAGUCAUUUGUUCCAUUUUUUUUUGUUUUUUUAGAGUUUUCUCUCUUUUAAUAACGAUCGAGUUGAAGAAAAGUAGUAUCUUAAUAACGGUUUUGUAAGAUUACAAUUUAUCAUGGGUUGCUACAGUUAGCAUUGCUUGUACUUUUAGGCCCCGUUUGGUUCGGGGAUAAGCUAGCGGGGAUAACGUAAACGUACGUGCAUUAUUGAGUGCUUUCUUUUCCUCCUAUCUUUCUUGCUUUCUUUCUUUUCGAUGUUGCUCGUAGAUCACGCACCUUCGUUCUUUUUGAUGUCGCCUGUAGAUCACGCAUUAAAGUAAGGGUUGACAUAGGCCAACCUAACAAAAUAUGCUCAAAGGGUAUCAACCAAUUGCUCUAAAUAGUAAUCAUAAGCUACGUUAUUUCAGGAAUAGAUACAAAUUCAGAUAUAAACAGGAACUAAACCUAUUUUGCGUUUGGAUAAAAAUUGAAUUGUUUUUAGGAAUAAGAUAAAUAGUGUUUGUAUGGUUAGAUUGAAACAAGAGGAAUAAGAGUUAUAAUUUGAAAUUAAAAUUUUAUUAUCUAAUUAAUUAACAUCAAAAUAUUACUUAAAAAUAAAUAAUAAAUAAAUUAUUGAUAAUUAAUUAUAAAUAAUAAUUAUUAUUAAUAGUUAUUAAUAAUUAAUUAUAAAUAAUACAAUAAUAAUAUCAAUUAUCUAAUUAUUAUUAAAUAAUAAUUAUUAAUAAUUAUUAAUUAAUAAUAAUAUCGAUUAUCUACUUAUUAGUAAUAAUUAUUAAUUAAUAAUAAUAUCGAUUAUCUAAUUAUUAAUAAUAAUAUUUAUUAAUAAAUAAUAAUAAUUAUAAAAAUUAUUAAUAAUUAAUUAGAAAUAAUAAAUUAAUAAUAUUAAUUAUCAAAUUAUUAAUAAUUAAUUGUAAAUAACAGAUUAAUAAUAAUAUCGAUUAUUUAAUUAUUAAGAAUAAUAAUUAUUAAUAAUUAAUUAUAAGUAAUAAAUUAAAUAAUUAUUUUAUUAUUUAAGCACUGAAUAAUAAUUUAAAUAUAUUAAUUAACUUAAUUAAUAAUUUACUGUUAUUAAAAUUUAAUUUAGAUUUUAAUUAACCUUAUUCUCAUUCGGGAACAAGCUUGUUCUAGAAAAAGAGUGGAACAACAGUUCCAGCCUUAUAUCAGUUUAUUCCAGAAAUUUAAAAACUAUUAUUUUUAGGCACCAAACACGACGUUUGAAAAUAAAGGAGGGAACAAGGACUUAUUUCUCCCUUAUAUUAGCUAAUUGAAAGUGCGAAGCUAGCGAGUUCUAAGGAGACACUUUAUGUGCCACAUUUAAUAUUAAUAUGUGAAGAUUUAAAAUUAACAUGUAACCAUUUUAAUUAUGAUUUACAUCAUCUAAAAAUACUAUAUAAAAAGUUAUGUGUUUUUUGAAAAAUUAUUUAUGCAUCAAAUGGCUUAAAAAUCAAUCAUAAAAAAUUAUUAUUUAAUUCGUUCGAAAUUAAUAUAAAAUAAUUUAUAGUUUUUGAUAGAUAAUAUUUAAAUAUAAGGAGUACAUUUAACAAAGUAUAUUUUAAUUUUGAGACUUUAUGAUAGGUUCAGUAUAUAUACAAGUAAUAAUUAUAAAACUGAUCCAGGUAAUAAUAUAUAAUUUAGUAGUUGUUUUUUUUUUAAUAUAUUUUAUAGAAUUUUAUUUGCAUAGUUCUUAUUUAAAGUAAUCUAAAUAAAACUAAUUUGAUAGUUAAAUUAAUUAAAAUAAAAAGGAUUUAUAUAUAUAUGUAUAUGUGCAACAGAAAUUUUUAUAAGAACCUAUUAAUUAUAAUUAAUUAAUUAAUAAUAAUAUUGUGUAAAUAAAUUGCUAAUAAUAUAGAUAUUAAAUGGUUAAGAUAAUUAGAACAAAACUUACAAUAUAUUUAUGACGAAAAUAAUUUUAGGGACUUAUAAAUACGUAGAUAGUUUUAUUAGACUAUAAAUAUAACAAAUUAUAAAAAAUAAUAUAAUUAACUAAAAUUAAUUAAAUAAAGUUGGCCGAAAUAAUAGAAGAAGGCAAAAAGUUUAAGAGAAAUAUAAAAACUAUUAAUAAUUAAACUACUUUGCAAGGUAAAUAUAUAUGAAAAAGAAUAAGAAAGAAUAUGCUACUAAAAUAAUUUAAAUAAAUAAUAGAAAUUGGAGGAGAAGUUUUUUCAUACAUUUUAUUGUCCGUGUAAUUAAUAUAUCUUAUAUACUACAUUUCUAAAACUUUAUUAAAAAAUUAAAUUAUAUAUGUAAUAUUUUAUACAUAAACUUUUUAUUUGGUAUAGAUUAUAUUAUCAUAUUUUACUAUUCUAUAGUUCAGAAGUUGUNGUGAAUCGUUUUCCGCUUUUACCCAUUUCUUUUAAAGGCGGUAAAUCGUUCACCGCUUUCUCCCAUUUCUUUUAAAAACGGUAAAUCAUUCACCGCCUUUCACUUAUUUACUGUUUCUUUCUAUAUCCCAUAUAAUCUUAACAACUUUUAAAUCCUAAUAAUUUAUCUAUAUAAUUUCAUAUAAUCUUACCUGCCUUUAUAUGGAAUAUAGAAAAUAACAGUAAAUAAUUUAUGGGAGAAAACGGUGAAUGAUUCACCGCCUUUAAAAAAAAUGGGAGAACACGGUGAACGAUUCACCGUCUUUAAAAGAAAUGGGAGAACGCGGUGAACGAUUCACUGCCUUUAAAAAAAAUUCUGACGUGGCGCCGACGUGGCGAAAAGAGGAUUAGUUUUAUAAAUAAAAUUUUGAGUGGGUUAUUUCGCAAAUUUUAAACUUUUAUAGGGUUGUUUUAUAAAAAAGUCCUAUCCUUUCUUUUUUUCUUUUUUUUUUUUCUUUUACCCUAAUAAAACUUUUUAACUUUUGAGGUGUAGUAGUAGUAGUAGUAGUAGUAACUAGUAAAUACUAGAGAGCUUGCUUUGUACGUGUGCUUUUGUUGCGGUGGUGGCGCACUCGUGAUAUAUAUGUGUGAUCGAUCAGGGGCUUAAACUUUCUCAUCUUGUUGGUGUUGGGCAACAGCAUUAAUGUUUGGGGAAUCGAUUACGACCUGCACAGUUGCUUCCUCUUGCGGCAGCUCCCCCACUUUUGCUGCUUCUCUCCCUUUCCCCCACAGCACCAUGUACAGUCCCACCACUAUGAGUACAGCUCCAAGAACACUGUUUAAGCAACCCACCAAAAUUUUCUUUUAAUUAAAAAAAUUCAAAUUUGGAUACAAAAAGAUAUUCAAAUUUCGAUAUAAAAUAGAACAGCUGUGGUGGUGGUGGUGGUGGUGUCGACAAAGUAGAAGAGAAUUAUUUGAUCAGAUCACACUAGUCGCUGCUGCUGCUGAGUUUGACUCAUGUUCAGUAAAUCUUUCUAUCGUUAUCAACUUUAAUGUAAAAAGUAAAAGGAUUAUAGCCCGAGUGUGUUAAUUUGAUCCGGAAGGAGCUUCUGCAGAAGUGCUACUACUCGAAAAAGCAUCGAUAUAGAAUUCUUACGGCUUUAAAGCAAGAAAUAGAAGCUCUACGGUGAAUUUUAUUUGACGGAAACACAUUUUGGCAGCUCACUAUAGCAAAAGCACACAAUACAUAGUUUCUCUUUCCAUAUUUAUAAUCUAAAAUAUAAAAAAUUCUUCUAUAAAUAUUUAUUUUUAACCCCUCAGAAUUUUCAAAUUGAUGCAUUUAUUCCCCCCCUCAGUCAGAGUUUCGUCAUUUAUCCCCAAAAAAAUAAUAAAAAUAUAUUAAAAAAUUAUUUUUUUUAUAAAAAUAAGUAAAGAUAAUUUGUUCAAUUUGUCCUCCCCAUUAACACCAUAGCUUUUGAAAAUAUUUCUAAAAAUUUAAAAAGCUAAAAUAUAGGUCUUUGAAAGACAGCGAAGAAAAAAUUAAAAAAUAUGGAUAUUAGCAAAAAGAUUUAAUAGCUUUUGUGUAGAGAGAGAGAGAGAGAGAUUCUACGAGCACAAGACAAGGAAGGAAAAAACAUAGCAUAGAUGUAGAUAAUUCACCAUUAAUUUAAUUAUAAUUACCUUCCUAAAUGCAGCUUCUCAUUCAGCAGGAGGGAGCUCAGGAGAGCCACAAUCACAAGCAUGAGAGGGUUGAAAAUAGAAGCAUACAAGGGCCCCUUCCUCUUUAUGCACCAAGCCAACACUGUUAGUAUUAACCCUGAUGCCACAAUGCCCUACACACACACAAAACACACACAAAACAAUUAAUUAAUCCAUGCAUGCAUGCAUGUAACAUUACUUAAUCGAUCAUUAAUUAGUAGAAUAUAAUAUUUAGUAUAUAUAUAGAUAUCUGGUAUACAUGAGCAUAAUCAAGAAUGUUAAUUAGAACCAUACUGAGUAAGCUGCAGAGAGGAGUCUAAUAUCAAAUCCCAUUCUCCACUGAGCCCAAUCUCUUUCGACCACGAUCGCGAACACCACGGCUUGGAUCGUAGCCAUUAUGCACAUCAGCGCCGUGCUCGAGUAGUGGCAUGGAUACUCUUUGCUCAUCUUCGCCUGGAAAAUUAAAUAAAUAAACUGUGAAUCUGAUGAUGAUCAGAAUAGUAGCUACUAAUAGAUGCAUUGUUUAUUUGUUAGAGUGAAGCUUCAUAUUGUUUGUAAAAUAAAACGGUGUAAAAAGUCCUAUAUCGGAUGAGAAUAGAAUUAUGAUUGAGAAUAUAGGAGAUCAUGAACCAUAGUAAUAAUAACUGCGCAUAAACGUUAAUAGUCCGUGGUUUAAGCCCCACGAGUUAUUACCGCUAGCGGGUCAGAUCGUUACGCAAAAAUUAAGUUUGUGGCCAUGCAUUGAUGAUCACCUGAAUAAUGAGCCAUAAUGCAUAGCUGAAGCAACUGGCAACAGCCAACAAUGAGCCCAUGCCGCGAUUCCCGGCUUCUUGGUUAGAAGCUCCUCCAUGGUGAGAUUUUACAAGGUUGAGAUGUGUAGACCACAAGUUGAUAGCUACUCCUUUGUAGAAUGUUAGUAGCAUUGCACCACCAACCCCAACAAGUGUCCCCAAAACCUUCGCUUGCCCCGACAAUGUCCGCAAAGCCAAACUCUCCAAUCUAUGAGUAAAAAACCAAAAAAAAAAAGUUUACUAGAAAUAUUUGAUGAAAAACAUUAGAUGGAUAUUUUACGUUUCGUCCAUUAUUUUCAGAAAUGAACUUAGCUAAACCCUUUGCCGCUUAUGCUGGGAAUUGUUAGUGCAUUCUAUUUAGUGUUAAUGAUUUUCAUUAGAAGGCUUAUAAAAUAUUCAAUUGAAUGACAAAAUAUUCUCAAUUUACAAAAACAUUAUUCUGUCAAAAAAAAUCAAAAUGCUAUCAACUUCUAUUGGGAAAUAUGAAAGACUCUCCUACUACUAUCUAUAGUACCGGAUCUCUGGUACUAUAAUUUCGUUUUCGAUCUUAGUUUGUUCAAAUCAACAAUUCACGUUGUUAAAACUGAUUUAGGGUAUUUAAAAUUUUUAGAAAUAAAACUUUAUAUUUUUGGACAUAAUUUACUUUAUGACCAAACCAUUUCAAACUUGUCAAAUUUCAAUGGCUACUAUAGUGAUUUUGUAGUUUAACGGUAUAGAAGAAUCUAAAUUCAUUCAAAUUUUGAUGGAAAAUACUUUAAACUAUCCGGAUCAAGAUUAGCAUCUUUGAUCUUGAAUUUUAAAAUUUUAUCUCAAAUUUUUAAAAUUGUUCAAUUUUCACCGUUUAUUUUGGCACAAUUUACUUACUAGGUAAAUGAUGUCGAAAAAAAUUUAAAUUUUAUUUCUAAGAACUUCAUAUACUCUAGACUAUAUUUAAUAGUGUGUAUCGUUGAUUUGAACACUCUAAAAUUAAAAAUGAGACUAUAACACCAAAGCUCUGGUACUAAAGAUAGUAUAGUAAUCUCAUUCUAUAUAUAUAUAUAUUUAGCUUGUAUGCUUUUAAAAAUCUAAAGUCAUUGAUACUUGUAAGUUUUCGGUGCUUGGAUUAAGGGAUGUGCGGUUAGGAUGAUAGUGAUCUCUUAGGGUUGAGUAGGUGGUUGGUUGAAUAGUAUGAUCUAACGAGUGGAGAUGAUUAAAGGGAUAGAUCUAACGGUGAAAAAUUUUAUGUACAAAAUGUUUAGAAUAAAGUAUACCUGAAUAAAACAGCCAAGGUAAAAGUAAUUGCUGGGAUAAGAUUGGUCAUAGCUGAGGCAAAGGUUGCUGAUGUGAGUUUUAAGCUUGUGAUGUACAAAUUUUGCGCCAAUGUACCCCUGCAAUAAAAAUAAUAUUAAAUAACAUAACAAUAUUCGACUAGGUUUCACCUAAUCAAAACUAAUAUUCUGAGGAAAGAAAAAAAAAACAUUCUUGUGUUUGAAAUAUUUACGUGGAACCAAAAAAAAAUAAAAUAAUCCCAGUUCAGAGAAUGAUAUAGUUCUUGAAUAUGUUCAGUAAACAUUAUUACUACGAUUAAUUGGAGUUAAUAUUUAAGUUAAAAAAAGACAAAUAAAGUGUUUCUAAUACCAUAUAUAUAUAUAUAUAUAUAUAUAUAGAACUAGGCUAAUAUACUAUUUAUAGCACCAAGUCAUUGGUGCUACCAAGUUUUUGGCCAUUGGAUUUGGAAAUGUGCGGUUAGGAUGAUGUGGGCCCCCUAGAGUUGAGUGGGUGGUUAGUUGAAUAGUAUGAUCUAACGGGUGAAAAUGAUCUAAAGGAUAGAUCUAACGGCAGAAAACUUGGUAGCACCAAGUGCUUCGUGCUAUUAAUAGCACAGUAGCCGGACUAUAUAUAUAUAUAUAUAUUAAUAUAUAUAUAUAUAUAUAUUAUAUUAUAUAUAUAUAUAUAUAUAUAUAUAUUAAUAGUGAGAGGACCACAUCUAUAUAAAUUAAAAGAUGCAACAAACUAAAAAGCUAUAUAUUAGCUACACCCUGAACUAAUGCCACAUCUAGCCUUUUGAGAAAAAAUUUUUCCAAUCUACGCCUUCUUCUUAAAAAAAUUCCCACCUAGCCUUUUUUUGAUGGAUUAGAAAAUAAAAAAGACUUAAGAGCAUUUAUAUGUUAAAUUUGUAGAGAGAAAAUUUUCUCUCUCUUUCCUCUCAAUUAAUUCUUAUAAUAUAAACAAUAAUUAAAAAUUAAUAUUUAAUAACAAUGAUAUUAUUAUUACUGAAUGAUAAUUUUAUUAUUUUAUUAUUAUUAUUACUAGUAUUUAGUAUAUGUGGUAAAGGGCUUGGUGGUUGGUACUUGAAGUUUUGAGUUUGAAUCAUAGUUGUAUUCACAUUUUCUUUGAUUCAUAUUCCCAGCUAAGUUUAUUUCUAAAAAAAAUAAAUGAAGAGGUAGCACCAUGCUAUCUUUCUGAGAAAAAAUUCUAGUCAAUAAUAUUUAUUAUUAUUAAAUAUUAAUUUUUAAUUAAUAUUAUUAUAACAAAAAUUAAUUAUUUUUAAAUAUUAGUAGGGUGGGAGGAGAGAGAGAAAAAAAUUUCUCUCUCCUAAUUAGCAUAUAAAUACUAUUAAAUUUAUCUUUUAUUUUCUAAUUAUCAAAAGAAGGCUAGGUUAGGAAUUUUUUUUAAAAGGAGGCUAGAUUGGGAAUUUUUUUUUCUAAUAAGGCUACACAUGGCAUUAGUUCUACCACCCUGGGGAAUAGGCAAUGAUCACGGGGAAUUGUAGUUGAACAGUUGAGAAUUUGAAAGGUUCUUUUUGGCUUCAAAGGAGCUGUUUAAUUUCUCAAAAAAGAAAAAAGAAAAAAAUUAAUUUAUUUUUUUAUGAAAAAUGUUCUUUUACAAUAUUUAUUUUCCAACAAAAAAAAUUCAGAAAACCAAACACCAACUACGUACAGGGAACAGUUCAAAUUUCAACACAUGAAUUAAAGAUGAAAAGGACUCUAUAUUAUGGUCAAUGGUUAUUAUUUAUUACUACUAGUUUCUGGUAGAGCAAGGAACUAGUAUUAAUUAUUUUGGCUCGUUUCUCGUGAAACUCUUUAUCUCUCAUCAAUUUCUCCAAGAUAAGAUUCUUGGAUAUUAGAGAUAAUAUCUACUAUACUCUUCAAAAUUUCUAAAAUAUCUUAUAUAUCUUCACUUUUUUUUUGUUUCAAAUAUAAUUUUACUGUUAGUAUCUGUUAAGUUAUCUCGAGUUAAACCCAAGUUAAUAUGCUUUUUUUGUCCCUAACUUAAAAAUAAAUAAGAAAAAUUAGUGACGGUAAAAGGUUAUAUUUGAAAAAAAAUCAAAAUACUUUUUUUUUAUUAAUUAAGGACAAAUGAGAAAAAUUAGUUACGGUAGAAGGAUAUAUAUUUGAAAGGUCGAAAUAGUAAUUUCAGAGAGAUAACAAUUAUUGCUAAUAGUUCACUAACAAAAUUUAAGUCUAAGAGCAUAUUUGAAAUAAUUUGAAACAUUAAAAAUGUAUUUUUAAUAUUAGCCUUUUAAGAGAGGUAAAUAGAAAAGUCAAAAAAGUUUUAGGAGUAUAUAAGCAAUUGUGCUAGAUAUUAAUUUAUAAAGAAAAAAAAUAAAUAUAUAAGAAUAAUUAUACAAUUAUAAGAUGAUCUUUAUAGUAUUAAAUAAAGAACAUACCCAAAUAGGCCGCAUAGAAAAGAUAGCACCAAAACCCUCCAUGUCAACUUUGGUCGGCUCUUCCUGCAAUUAUUAUAAUAAUAAUAUUAAUUAAUGGCAAAGUUGUUAAUAAGUGUGGAGUUUUAAUACAUGCAAAUAUUAAUUAGAGCCCCUUCAUGCAUGCAAAAUAAAACAUGCUUAUAUAUAUAAUAUAGAGUUACUCUUUUGAAAAAAGAAAAGCAUUUAAUAGUAACUACAAGAUCGAAAUAACAAAUGGGUACUUUUCUUCAAAAUGAUAAGAACCCUUUUUAAGGCCAUUUUAGCUCCACCAAUUAAGCAUAACAAAAGGCAAAAAGAAGAAGAAACAAAGAAAGAAAGGAAAAAAGCUUAUACACAGGAAAUUAAAAGGAAACACCUCCAACUCUUUUGUGAAAGCUAUAUAUAUAUAUAUGAGGUGGAGAGUGAAAGAAAAUGAAAACCAAGUACACACAAAUGUAGAAAAGAAAAAAGGGAAAAAAAAAAGGAGGAAAAGCAAUACAAAAAGUUGAUGAUGAUUUAUAAAAAAGAAAAAAAAAUGUUACAUGAAGCGAAAAUUAAAGGAAACCAAAAGAUUUAGGACAUGCAUGGGCCAUAUAUCUCAUUCUCUAUUCUACGCUUUAUAGUAAUCACAACACAUCAUACAAAACCAGCCAAACAUAUUUUUCUGUUUUAGAUAAAAUUAUAAUAAAAAUAUUUUUUUAAUAACAAUGAUAAAACAGAUAAAUCUAAGAAAAAUAAUCUAAUUGACCGGUGACGCCAGCAUUAUAGAUUUUUUUGUUUCUUUUGUACAUGAGACACCCAUGAAUCUCACUCUUUCACAAAAAUGAUUGGUGACGCCAGCAUUAUAGUUUUUUUGAGAGAGAGGGAGGAAGAGAACCCACAAAAGCAUUNUCUGUUUUAGAUAAAAUUAUAAUAAAAAUAUUUUUUUAAUAACAAUGAUAAAACAGAUAAAUCUAAGAAAAAUAAUCUAAUUGACCGGUGACGCCAGCAUUAUAGAUUUUUUUGUUUUUUUUGUAUAUGAGGCACCCAUGAAUCUCACUCUUUCACAAAAAUUCACUGCCCGUCAAAACCUCUUGAAAGAGAGAGAGAGAGGGAGGAAGAGAACCCACAAAAGCAUUAACCCAUUAAACUUCUCUCAUCAUACGAAUUAUAUCAAUUAAAAGUUCUCAUGAUAUCAAAACUACUCAUUAUAUCAAAACCUUCGAUCUCUUUUUGUUGAGAGAGAGAAAGAGAGAGAGAGAGCCCAUCAAAACAUUAAUUUAACCCAUAAGACUUCUCUCAUCAUAUCAAUCAUAUCAAAACCUUCUUUUUGUUUCUUCCUUUUUUUUAAAAAAAAUUUUCUGAGAGAGAGAAAACCCCUCAAAGCAUUUUAACCCAUAAAAUCUUCUCUCAUUAUAUCAAUUACCACUUAUUAUGUAUUACAUAUAUAUAUAUAUAUAUACAUAUACACACAAACAAGAAACAACAUCUUUAAGUAACAUAAUAAUAAUAAUAAUAAUAAUAAUGAUAAAGAAAUAUGUAUACAAAGUAUAUAAAGUAUAUAUAUAUAUAUAUAUACCUUUCGAAGAAGAAGGCAAGAGGGGCCAAAAAGGCAGUAGCAAAGAGAUAUCUGAAGGCAACAAGCACCCUCAGAUCCAUGCCAUCGUUUAUGGCCAGCUUGUAGAACACAUUCACCCCCGCAAACACCACCUGCACCACAACCAUCCCACUCGCAGGUUUCAUCCCCUCCACCACCCCACACAUCCCCUCAUGCUCCCCCCACAUCUCUAAUCUCUACUACGUACUCAAAUAAUAAUGAUAAUGGUAAUGGAAAAAUUAACAAGAAGCAAUAAUAAUAUCUAGUGUGUGUGCAUGUGUGUGUGAGAGAGAGAGGGAGAGAGGGAGGGAGGAGAAGCAAGAGAACCCUUUAAUUUGGGUUUUUCUUUUUGGUUUCGUUUUCUCUGUUUUGGGGUUGUAUUGUUUUGUGUCCUCACUUAGCUCGUGAUCGGUUAAUCUUAAGGCAUUAACAAGGGGCCUUAUUUAUAGGAGACCAAGGGGGGCUAGAGAGAGAGAGAGAGAGAGAGAGAGAGAGAGAGAGAGAGAGAGAGGGGAGCGAGUCGCUUGCAUGGUGGGUUUUGAAAGGGACAGUGUAGUCCUUAGAGAGAGAAAAAAAAAGAGAGAGAAGGGUAGAGAGGGAAACAAGAGAGAGAAAGAUGGGUAGAGAGAGAGAGAGAGAGAGAGAAACAAGAGAGAAGCUUCUUCUUGGCGCAAUACAAGCGGCGAGGGGGUGCAACAAGUGUUUUGUUUUUUUCGUUAAAAUUAUUGCGUGCACUUGGUGUAUGUGUAGGUGCACCUUUCUUAUAAUAUUUUAGGGUCUGUUUGGUUGCACGUAUUUAUACCUGCAUGUAUAUCUAAAUUCGACGUUUGUUUUAAUACAUUUGAAUUUAACUGCUACACUUGCAACUGCACGAGUCUCAACUGCAGAAAUUAAAACUACGCUCAAAUUGGGCACAGUUCUAACUGUAGCAUCCGAAAAAGAUAACUUUAAACAAAAAUAAAUUUACCUUCCUCAUAAUUUGUUAAAUAAUUAAUUUUUCUUUCCAACGUAAGAGUAAUCUCACCACAUCCUAUAUAAAAUGGUAUAAAUUUGUAAUUGUACUUUCAAUUGCAUACAAUAUAAAGGUUUCUACUACAUUCAACUAAACAAAAUGCAUAUAAUUAUAAUUGCUAUAUUUUCAACUGUAUGUACGUACUUCUAUUUAUACUGUAUUUAUAAUUAUGUUGAACCAGAUAACCCCUUAAUUACCAUAGAGAUCAUUAGAAAAUAACGAAGUUAUAAAUUAUUAUGUAAGUAUAUAUUUGAAAAAUAGAUUUAACAUCGGUAUCGAAUAUAUCCUCAUUUUAUAAAAAAGAGGGAUCAUUUUUUUUAGCUUUGUUUAAGUUAUUCGCCUGUAAGAGAAUCUCUUUUGAAAACUAAUUAAACUUGCCAUUAUAAAGAUGACACAUUGAAAAUAUGUAAAACGCAAUGGUAAUAAUGCUACGACACAAACGAUUCGCACAUCACAAAAAUUCUAACUAUUUAAUACUAAUUUUCUAAUAAAUUGAUUGUUGAUCUUUUUGUAUUAUUAAUUUUUGAAGCAAACUAACACCAGAUAAUUAAUUCUCAAUAUAUAUAUAUACUCUUUAGAAAUUGUACAUCAUAUAUAUUUUAAGUUUGAUUUUGAGAUACUAAUUUAAAAGCUUAGUUGAAGUGUAUGGAACGUAAGGAUACACCAGGUGCACGAAGUAACUUGUCCUGUUGUUGGGGGUGGUGGUCACGGCUCACGAGGGGGGCUGCUUCUGCGGCGUACGCACGCGUUGAAUGGAUGACACGUGGCGGCUCCACUGCGUCACCUGUUGCGAUUCCACGGAGCUUCGGGGUACACGUGGUUGGCCCCGUUGCGGAAAAGGGUUCGGAGGUUUUAUUUCCUGCACCGUGUGUACACAUCUUGUCUCAUGAACCACAUUCAAAAUUUAAUGAUAAAAUAUAUAUUAGAAAAUAAAAAUUAAGAUGAUAAUUUUAAUCUCGAAUGUGUGUAAAAAUAAAUAUUAAAAUUGUGCGAAAGUUUAAAUCAUUGAAAGUUUAUUGUGCGAAAGUUUCUUGUGGAUCGUAAUAGCUAACUAACUAUUUUAAAAGCAAUUGCUGAUAGAAAAGGUGUACUCAUCGCACUUAAGGGCUUAGCUACAGCGCUCGCGGGCUUCGACCUGACUCAACUCAUCUGAAUGUUGAGUCUAUUGUUUGGUCUCUUAUCGUUAGGUCUUUUAUAGACCGCACCUCUAUUCAACUUAGGCUUAGUUUGGUAUUGAGGCCUAUCAAAUGCUAUUAGAUAAAAUGGAGUUGAGGAAAAAGCAUAUAGGGAUAUAUUUCUGCGUUCUCCUCUGGGACCGUAGAAAAUAUAUCGUAACCGACUCAUCGCGAUAUGCGGAACGCAAUAUUACAUACGAAAACAAACAUGAUAUAUAUUUUUCUAACGUGCUUUCUCACCGCACGUAAUGCAAUCCCCCGCAAUCCCAAAUGAAGCCUUACUAGGCUUACCCAACUCAUCUUAUUAGUCUCCUGAGAGCUUAUUAUAAUGGAGCAGGAUGUUAAACCUAUUUUAACCCAAUAAUAAACAGCCAACAUUAAGUAGUCAUAUAAAUCAACACUAUGCAAUAAGAUAUUAUUAUUUUUUCUUAUAAAACUAAGAUGUCCAAAAUUUAGAAUUUUUAUACGUAUUAAAGUUCUUCAAUGUCACAGAGCUUGCAAAUAAAUAAAUUAUUUAAAGGUGGAACUUGAUUGCAAUUUAAAAUCGAGUAAAAAUAUUAUAAUAAAUUAAAAUUUGAGCAACAAAGCGUCACCCGUCUCAUAGUUUGAAUACCAAACGUGCAAUUUACUGUUUAAUUUACAUAUCCAACCUUCUACAAUUUUGACUUUGGCACUAUUCUUUUUAUUUAUUUGAUUUAAACAAUUUAAUAUUUUUUUUGAAAUAAAAUUUGGACUCAUUACUUUUCAAACUAUCUAUUGUAUAAACUAUGUAAAAUAUGCUAAUUAAGCUAGUAAAAAUGAAGGACAUAUAAAUAAAUUUAAAGUGUAAUAGUCAUUAAAUAGAUUAAAUCAAAGGAGUUAAUUAAAUUAAGUAAAAAAAUUGAUUAGGUAGCAAAAAAUUCAAUUUUAAAAGUUAGGUAUUGGACCAAAAUGAGGUAAUUAAGUUGCAUGUUUUUUUUACAGCUAAAUUAAAUUAGAACUUCGAGAUCUUUAUAAACAUAGAUUUGGGUGGGGUGUGGUGCACGAUGGACUGGGUGCAUGAAACAAUCUACAAUUCAGCAAAACAUGGGAAUGGACCCAAUUUGAGUGGCCUUUUCCUUUUUAAUUUUUUCUUUUUUUUUUUUUUUUUGAACAAAAGUGGGUGCUUAAAUUUGUACGAAAACAAGUUGGUCAUUUAUCUUAGUAUGUGAAAUAGAAAAUAAUAGGAUUAAUUUUAUACAGGUUGCUAUAAAUAUAGUGAAUUGUAAAUUUUUUUCUACGAGUUCAACUUUCGUAUGUUGUUUCUAUAAAAAUUUUAAUAUUUUCAAAUAUGUCCCUUUAAUUUGUUACCGUUAGAAUACUAUUUAUUUUAUAAAUGAAAUAACUUUUUUGAUAUCACAAAUAUUUCCCUCCAAAAAUUGCAACUAUUAAUUAAAGAAAGAUAAAAAUGUCAAUUCAUCUCAUUAACUAACUAGGGUUAAGUAUUUUAUCUAUACGUAACUAAUUUUUUCUAACGAAUUCUAACGACAGUAACAUAUUUGAAAAUAUCAGAACUUUUGCGGAGACAACAUAUGAAAGUUGAAGUACUUUAUAGGGAUAUAUUUAUAAUUUACUAUAUUUGUAGAGAGCUAUAUGAAAUUAACCCAAAAUAAUAUUACACCUUUUGAGUUUUUGUUUUUAUUUUUUGGAUGAAAAGUGGUAGGCAAUGCAUUAUUUUCAUUUGUUUAAAGGUGCUUUUUAGUUUUAAGGCACCAUGUGCACCAUAAAAGAUUGUCAAAUUUUUAGCCACUUUUUUUUCCUGUUGUUAGAUACUUUGCAAGUACAAAUUUAUAUAUAAACAAUUUUGAGUCUUUGUUUGUUUUUUUUGUGGUGAAAAAGUGUUAGGUAAAGUAUUAUUUUUAUUUUCUUUAAAGGUGCUUUUUUUUGGUAGCUAAUUAAGGAGGAUUUUAAGGUACCAUAUGCAAUAUAAAAGAUUGUCACAUUGCAAAAAUAUGGCUCAAACACAUUUUUAAAUAAGCGUAGUUACAAGAUCACUUAAGUCACUCACAUUUUAGUUAUUGUUUUUAUUUUUCAGUAUAGCAUUAAGUAAACUAAGAAUUUAUAACUCUUUUCUUUUAAUAAUGAAAAGUUAAAAUGAGAUUUUGAGCACAUAAAAGUAAAAAAAUCUAUUUGAUAUUUUUAGCCUCAGUUUUUUUGUUGUUAGAAUUUUGCGAGUGCAAAUUUAUAAAAACAAUUUUGAGUUUUUUGCUUUUUUUUGGAAUGUUUUUGGUGAAAAGUUGGUAGGGAUUGUCACAUUAAUUGCCAAAAUAUGGGUUGUAAAUUGUAGUUACAAGAUCACUUAAAUCACCCACAUUUUAAUAAGGGGCAAUUGCUUAUAUACCCCUAAAAAGUUUUCGAUUUUCUUAUUUACCCCUCUUAGAAGGGUAAUAUUGAAAAUAUCCUUCUUGUUCUUUCUAAUAUAUUCCUAGAGUUAAAUUUCGUUAGUGAGGUGUAAACAGUUGCCGUUAUCUCUGAAAAAUUAUCAUUUUGCCCAUUCCAAUAUACCCUUGUACCGUAACUAGCUUUUCUUAUAUACCCUUCAUAUAGCAAAUACUUUUCUUAUUUGCCCUUCAAAUAUCAAUUAAUUAAUUAAGCAAGUCGGGAGCGAGCAGAUGAAUGGAUGAGAUCGAUCGUAGCUAAACCAACCUUGAUGGCCGGAGGUAUAGUUAGUUAAUUCGGAUUCGGCAAAAAUUCCGUACGGAUAUAAUUCGAAUAAAAUUCAUCUUUUAAUUUUUAAAUUCGUUGAAAAAUACGGCUAAAAAACGGAUUCGGCAAUUAUUCGGAUAUAUGAUUUAUACAAAUAUUAUACGUUCACCAAUUAAAAAUUCGAGAUCAAAAAUUCGGCUAUUUAAUAAAUAUAUAAUAAUUAAUAUACUAUAUAUAUUAUUAUUAUAAUUUUUAUAUAUAGAUUAAAUAUAUUUAAAAUUAUAAUAAACAUAUAUUAAUAAUAUAUAAGAGUUAUAUAUUUAAAAAUAUUAAUAAAUAAUUACAAAUUUAUAAAUAAAAUAUUAUAUAAUGAGAGGGAAUAUAUAUAUGAAUAUAUGAAUAUAUUAAAAAUAAAAUACUAUAUGAAUAUAUAUUACAAAUUUAUUAAAAAUAAAAUACUAUAUGAAUAUAUAUUUUAUAUAUAUAAUGAGAGCGUGGACCUCCCUCUCAUCCGGUCCACGAGGCCAAACUGGCAUCGUGGACCGCGCACACCCGCUGCUCCCCUCCGCGCCUCUUGCUCCCGGCAAGCGGACGGCCUCGGGUGGACGGCACGCGGACGGCCUCGGGCGAGACGGGAUCGUCACUGCGACCUUCUUGCUCCCAGCACCGGCCAAGGUGGCGGAGGAGGAGGAGGAGGAGGACAACGACGAGAGUGGUGACUCGCGGGCCGUUUUCUUUGGGCGAAUCAUUCGCGAAUUGCGGCGGGCAGCGGGCUAUGGCGGCGGGCGACGGGGACCCACGUGCUCUUCACGUGGAUCGAGCAGUCGACGACGACGAUGACGACCCCGCCAGCCCGAGCCUCGUGCCGCUGAGGAUGCCCGGUGCGUCGAACAUUGGGACGGGCUUCCUCAUGUAGGAGAUGGCGGCGGCGGGUCCGCUAGGGAGCUAUGGCUGGGGCUGCCAGAAUUGGAUGCCGGAGGUGGCGGUGCCGGGCUUGAGGGUAAUGAGGCCAAGUUGGGAGAGAAAGAAAGGAUAACUUUAGAAAAUAGUUUAAUAAGGUACGGGCAAAAUAGGUAUUUUAAUUAGGUUUUAACUCUGGUAUACAUUUAACCCAUGUUUAAUGCGAGUUAGUUUAACAGGGGAUAACUGCGGGGUUAUUUUGGAAUAACGGUAGAACAUAUGAGGGGUAUUUUAGAAAGAAAAAAAAAAGUAGGAGUAAAUCGGAUAUUUUCAAACGUAUGAGGAGUAUAUAGCCAAAUAUCUCUUUUAAUAAUUAUUGUUAAUGUUUAGUAUAGCAUUAAUUAAAUAAACUAAGAAUUCACAACUCUUCUUUUUAAUAAUGGAAAGUUAAAAUGAGAUUCUGAGCACAUGAAAGUAAAAGUCUUUUUCAAAUUUUUAGCGUCAAUUUUUUUUUUUUUUUUUUGGUUAGAUGUUUUGUGAGUACAAAUUUAUAAAAGUAAUUUUAAGCCUUUUGUUUUUUUUUGAAUGUUUUUGGUGAAAGAGUGGUAGGCAAAGGGUUAUUUUCAUUUGUUUAAAGAUGCUUUUUUUUUUGUUUCAGCUAAAGAGAAUUUUAAGGCACCAUGUGCACCAUAAAAGAUUGUCACAUUGAAAAAUAUGGAUUGACACAUUUUAAAUUGUAGUUACAAGAUCACUUUAAGUCACUCACUUUAAUAACUAUUAUAAUUUCUAGUAUAGCAUUAAGCAAACUAAGAAAUCAAAACUAUUUCUUUACCAUGGAAAGUUAAAGUGAGAUUCUGAGCAAACGAAAGUAAUGAUCGACAUAGAUAUCACUCAUGUAUAUAAAUACUAGUGAUAUACCUGCGCGUUGUUAUGGGAUUAAAAUUGCUUAAUGUAAUAUGGAACUAAAUGAUUUUGAUCCUUUUGGUUUGAUAAAAAUAUGAUGGCAAUCGCUCAAUUUUUGGUCAUUUUAAAGUAACUUUUUUUUUUAUUAUUAUUAAGAUUGCAUAAAUUUCUAUUUUUUAAUUAAUUAUUUUUAUUAGUUUGAUAAUUCAGUUCAUUGGCUAUAACUGAUUAAUGUUAUUAAAUUUAAGGACAUAACUAUUGGAUUUUACUUAUAAAAUUUACGGUAAUUUUUUUAAAAUUUUUUUAACUAAAAUUGCAUUGUAAAUAUAAAUUUAGAAAACAUUUAUAAGAAAAAUGAAGUUGAGGGCCAUUUCAAAGUGACCUACAACUAAAAGAAUCUUUCAUACAUUUCUAUUUUUUUAUUUUUUUUUUUGAGAGAUAGGUAGCAUGCUACCCGCUUUAUUUAUUUCAUUUAGAAAUAAACUUCUUUCCAUAUAAAGUGAAAAUUGUUGACAAAUGUUUAAUAAAAUUGAAUGGAAAGAAGAAAAAUUAGACCAUAAUAUAACAAAUAUAGCAACUAUCUUAAAAUUCUCUGAAUUUUUGACACGAAAUCUAAUUGAAUGUAUGUUCUUAUUAACAAACUUUUGUUUGGGUAGCUGCACAACUUUAAACUCUAAUACUUUAAUCUUUAAUCUUCUUAAUUUAUACUCAAUUUUAUUGUCCAAAAAAAAAAAGUUAACGUAUGUGACACCCCAAUAGUCUCACAUCGGAUGGGAAUGGGGUUGUCAUUGGGUUUAUAAGAGACUUAGACACUAAUAAUAAUAAUUGAGCUUAAGCAUUUUGGGCCGGUGGUUGGGCUCAACGAGUUAUUGUUGCUAGUGGGCUGAGUCGUUACAUUUGCUAUUAGAGCCGGUUCACUAGCUAGACAUGUGGGACGAGUCUCGGCUGAGCCAGGGCCUGGAUGACGGGCUAGCGAGACGAGUCUUACAUCGCCUGGUGAUCUUGGGCUGUGUGUGUGAUUGGACUGACGAGGACGUCAGGACCUUAAUGGGGGGAGUCUGUCACACCCCAAUAGUCUCACAUCGGAUGGGAAUGUGGUUGUCAUUGAGUUUAUAAGAGACUUAGACACUAGUAAUAAUAACUGUGUUUAAGCAUUUUGGGCCGGUGGUUGGGCCCAACGAGUUAUUGUUGCUAGUGGGCUGGGUCGUUACAACGUAAAAUUUGUACAAUAUCACUUGAAGAAAAAAAAAAUCACUUUUAUGAUUUUUGAAUAUUUAAUAUAUAUACAAUAACGUAUAUAAAAAAUAAUAUAUUUAUAAAAUAUAAAAAAUUAAAAUAUUAUAUAAAAUAAUAUUAUAAUCGUAUUAUUUUAUAAAAUACUUCAAUAGUAAUGUAUAAAAAAUACUUCAAAAUAAUAUAAAUAAAUAAUUAAAGAUGAUAUAUUUUACAACAUUAUAUAUAUAAUUUAUUUAUUACAUUAUAUAGUAUUUUAUUUUAUAUAAUAUGAUAUAUUAUAGAAUAACAUAUAAUAUAAAUUUAUAAAAAUAAUAAAGAUAAAUAUAAUAUAAUAUAAUAUAACAUAAUAGUAACACUAGUAGUUGUUGCAGUACUCAUAAUAAUAAUAAGAAGAAGAAGAUAUUUUAAUGUUAUAUUCUUAUUAUAUUGUUAUUAUAAGAUAUUUUAAUAUAUCUAAAAAUAAUAUAUAUAGUAUAAACAUAAUUUUUUUUAUCACUGUACAACAAUUACUAAGAUAGUAUAGUAUGAGAAUAGUUUUAUUCCUCUUAGAAGAUGGAAUAGUUGUUUCUAAAUUAUUUUUGAAUUGUCUAGAAUUAUUCAGUUUGACCAGAAUAGCUAUUGUUAUUUUUUUUACACUAUUUGGGGGAAUAACAAGAAUAAUUUUUGUUGUCUUUGGUUUAUUUCAAAAACCAAAAAGAGCCUUAAAUAAUGCACCUUUCUUGAAUCCUUCAUUAUGCUUUUUCAGUGGCCAGUGUUUGAUCCCUCUUUAUCAUCCCUUAUACUUUAGGAUGACAUGCAGCAAAGAAGAAAUUAUGAAGAAGAUAAGAUACUUGGUCUAGGCAUGCAUGUAGCUGUUUGGCCACUAUAAGAAAAAGAAAAGCAAAAAUAGGAGAAGAUUCUAUUUCUUUCUCCUUUCAUAUAUGUCACAAAAUGAAAAAGUAUGUGACAAAUUGCCAUGUCGUACUACUUAGAGGUGUCAAUGAGCUUAACACGAGCGAGUUAGGGCCGGCUCGUGUUCGCCUCGUUUAAUAAACAAAUCAAACAUGAGCCGGUUAGUUAAGUAUUGAAUCGAAAAAUUCAGCUCGCGUUCGACACGUUAAUAAAUGAGCCGAACACAAGUAGGGAUGUCAAUGGAUACGGAUAUUCGAAAUUUUAUCCGAACCCGAAUCCGAACGGAGCAGAUUUAUCCGAUGCUAAACAGAUAUGGUUUCGGAUAUGGAUAUCAAAAAUAAAAAUUUGAUGGAUAUGGAUUCGGAUAUAGAUUUUGACUGCACUCGACCCGAAUCCGAACCCGACGCAAACCCGAAUUUAUUUUACAUUAUAUAUAAUAUGUAUAUAAAAAUUUGAUGUUAUAUUUGAAUAUGUAUUUUAAAAAUUUAAAUUUAAUGUAAUAUUUUUUGAAAUAUUGAAAAGAGAAAUAAUUGUUUCGGGUUCGGAUUUUCGGAUUCGGGUUCGGGUUUGGAUAUAGAUUUUUAAAAUUCGUCAGGUUCAGGUUCGGAUUCAGGUUUCGGGUUUGGCGUCGGGUUCGAAUUUGGGUUUCGAAAAAUCCGCCCCGAAUUAGACCUGUUGGCAUCCCUAAACACGAAUUAGGUCACGAGCUGGACAACAAACAAUAAGUUAAAUAGAUUAGAUUGGAUAUAUAUAAAAAAUAAAUGUAUAAAAUCUUACCUAUUAAACUUUGAUCUAAUCGUUGAAGCUUUACAUAUAAAUGUGUCUUUUUAUAAUUGAGCUCGGCUUUUUUUUUUUUGCUAAAAAUCAAAUAAUAAAUAUAUAUACAUAUAUGAUCCACUACAACAAAAACGGUCUAUAGCAACACUUUUAAAUGUUGGUAUAGAUCAAAAAAAGUGUUGCUGGCUAAAUUACUGACACUUUUAAAAAAUAUUGUUAUAUGUGGGGUUGCUAGGUAUAUAGCGACAGUUAAAGAGUGUCGCUAUAACCUAAAAACGUGGUGCUAAUUUAGCAACACUUAUUUAAGCAUCUAGUAACCACCGAAACUCUAUCUCGUUGGCUGCGGUGGCGAAGGAGGACGAGAGGGAAGGGCCCUUCGUCUAGGAUUUUAGUGGAUUGUGUAAGGGGAGAAGGGGAGAUGCUAAUCGAUUUUUCUUUUUUUUUUUUCCUUUUUGUUUGGAAUCGAGCCAAAUAGGCUGGGUUCGGUGGGUUGAGUAUAGAAAUCUUUUAUUUUUUGUUGGAUUCGGCUUUAUAUUUAGACAUUAGUAGAUACUUUUUUAAAUUUUGACAUAAAUGAGAUACUUAGACAAAAGUGUCCUAAACAUGUGUCUCUAUAACCUAAUUCUGUUGUAGUGUGAAAUUAAAAAUAAAAAAGUUUCUCCUUUUAAGUACAAAAUUAACUAAUGAUGCAUUGGGUAGUGUUGUUCGUAUCACUAAUGUCCAAAUAGAAUUACAAUGGUAUCACAAAAUAGGCAUUACGAGAAGCUUUUUGUUCAUUUUUUUAAAUGAAAGAGCCAAUCUUUUCUGUGUCUUCAAGCCAAUUUUGGUGGAUUUUUUUUUUUUUUUUUGUUAGCUUGUUUCAUUACUAUAUGUUUUUGAGAUAUAUAAAAAUGCUAGCUAAUCUAAUAGUUCCCUGCAAAUAUCUUCGUAAAUGUUACAUCUAAUUUUACCAUCUUCUUAUUCAGGAAAUCAUUCGGAAAAAGUAGAGUCAUCGAUCGAUCAAUGGGAAUGAACAAUUUCCUUGACAAUUUCAUUGGAAAAUUGGUGUAUCAAGCUAUACUCAGGAGAGAUUAGCAUUUAAUAUAUACGUUGCUUUCUCUUUCAGAGUUUUUCUCAUCCUUCACAGAUGAUUGUUGUUUCGUGUGUGAAAAAGCUUUAUGUACACAACGAAUCUGGACACCCUACUGAGAGUGAGAGUGCUUCCGCUCAAGCCUGAGGCGUCAUAUAAUGGCAACACAUUGUCUAUCUAUGGCAAAUAGCCGAAUUAAUUUAAUUUAAAGAGUUCUCUAACAUGUACUAAAGACUCAAAGUAAGAUAUAAUUGAUGUGAGACCCCAGAUAGUCCUAUAUAUAAGAUAUAAUAGGGCUAAACUCUUAACCCGACUUAAGUAUUUUGGGUGGUGGCUAGACCCAAGAGAUUAAAAGAGUUAAGCGUGUUAGGACGGAAGUAGUUCUAGAAUGGAUGAUCUCCUGGGAAGUCGGGGCGUCACAAUUGAUGUCCUAGCUAGCUAGCUAGGUGGAUAUUGUUUUGUGAAGAAGAAGGAGAAGAAGCUCAUUUGAGAAGGUGAUUAAUUGGGAUCUUGAUUCUUUUGCUCUUUGCUCAAUUUAGAACGUUUUAAUCUUGCAUCAAAUAAAUGACAAUGAUGCCACCCUAAUCAAGCUAAGAAGAAGUUCAAAGAGAGAGUUGGUUGGCCCUCAGUGCAGAAAUUAAUGUUGGCCAUCAAUCAAUUUGGGUUUUUUUUUUUCGUUAUUACUUUUUUCGAAAAUAUUAUAAUUUGUCAAAUAAUUCUGUUAAAAAUUUAUUUGGCAAAAUAAUUCUAUUUGUCUAACUCGGCGUCAAGCUAUGAAUGAUUCACCGUUUAGAAAGAAAACGGUGAAUCAUUCACAGCUUCUUUCUUAGUAAGAAUUUUCUAUAAUAAUUAUCCCGUACAUACAAUCCUAACAAUUAUACAAAAAUCUCUGCAACCUAUAUACAAUUUUAACAACUCUAUAAAAAUCCUAAUAAUCCAUAAAAAGGUCCACAAAUAAUAGGAAAAAUUCAUUGUUUUCUAAAAACGGAUAAAAUAGUAAAUGAUUCACGGUUUUCAAUGAACACGGUUUUUCACUUCUCUCUGUUUUAGUACUGAGUUUGAUAAAAUAGGAUUAAUUUGCCAAUUAAAAUCGUGAUAGAAUUAUUUAACAAAUUAUAAUUUUAAAAAAGUCCAUCAUUUUUUUUCCAAUUAACAUAUAGCUUUUUUUAUGAAUUGCUUAGUAAUUAAUCAUUAAUUUGAGAGGAUGCCCUAUGAGAAUACCAAUUUCAUUUUGUUGUUGUUGUUGUUGUUUUUUUUUUUUUUUUUUUUUUUUUGAGAGAAAUAGGUAGCACGCUACCCGCUUCGUUUAUUUCAUUUAGAAAUAAACUUAGCUGGAAAUGUGAAUCAACUAGGAUUCGAACUUGGGUCUCGGGUACAAACCUCUAAGCCCUUUGCCACUUGCUCUAGGGACAGUCGGUAAUUUCAUUUUGUUGUUAUGUGGAUGGAUUUGAGAGAAUGCCUUUUGAGAACACUUUCAUUUUAUUUAGCACUUAUUUUUAGAGGGCUUUUGCUUAAAUACCCCUCGCUACUAUUCAAAAUUUUUAAAUUUACACCUCCAUCUUCAAAAUGUCCUUCUAAAUUUUAAAUUUUAUUGGUAAAAUCUAGGAUUAGGACUAUAUUUGAAGGAAUUUUUAAAACUUAGUACCGUCUUCUGUAGUGUUGACUGCUGUGGUGCUAAGUUGGCAAGAAGGGAUAUUAUAAUUUAUUUUUAUAUGGAUGAAUUUUAUUUAGUCAAUUAAAAAAUAACAAUAAAGCCAAAAAGACCAAGCUUUUGAAUCGAAAGCGAAACGUGAAACAUAUAUAUGUAUGUACAUACACAUUAUUUGAUCAUGUGAUUCACGUCACAUAGUAAUCACCACUCAUUAAAAUCCAAGGACUUUAUAUAUGUUGAGCCAAUUAGGCGCAGACAUGUGGUAGACCGGAAUCGCUUUCAAAGGCAUUAAUCUGACCGUGCACUAGGAGCACCAAAAAAGUAAAGAAGAAAACCGUCGCGCCAAUAGGAAGUUACAGCAACCGCAAGCAGUUGCGAGCGGUUCGAUCGGCUGAAGGUGGUCCGAGAUUUUAGGAGGUAGUGGCCGAUCAUGUAAUAACUGAAUCAGGGGCGAUUCUAUAAAUAGAUCAAUGAUACUUUGAAAAAAAGGUCUUCGCCCCUGCGCACAAAAGACCAUAUUUAUUUUCCUGCAAUCUUUCUUCCUCGCAUUUACCGCUUUUUCGUAGGAGUAGUUCUUAUAACUUAGAUAUUUGGAGUCUGUCUGCCCUCUGGGCAUCACUCCUUUGUAGAAUACACUUGGAGUCUGUCUGCCCCACGGGCAUCACUCCUCUAUUAUUGUAUUUUUUUUCAUUUUUCAUUCAAUAGAAAGUCACGUUCGGCUAUUCAGGCCGACCAGAUUUCGUGUUGUGCUAGCCAUUCGGCUCAUCUCCCAGCUUAACUUCCGACUUUCCUCGCAUAUUCGGCUCAUCCAGCCGAACCGGAGAGUAAAAAGAGUUUUCGAACCCGGUUGACCCGAUCCCUCGUCAGCCGAAUCACUUGAUCUGUCGAAGGGCGCAAACUUCGAGGGUCACUAUUUGCAGCCGUUUCACAUCCCGACGCGCUCCCAGAGGAGGAUCGUUGACUAGGUCCAGGGUCGGAGAAUUUCGGCACCAACAAUAUAUAUCAAAUAAUGUUUGAUACUAUGCAGAUAACUAAGAAUUACUAUGUAUAUAAAGUCAAUAAAUGUUUGAUACUAUGCAGAUAACUAAGAAUUACUAUAUAUAUAUAUAUAAAAUUUGGGCAAUUGCUUAUAUAUCUCUGAAAGUUUUCGAUUUUUUGAUUUACCCCUCUUAGAAGGCUAAUAUUGAAAAUAUCGGAUAUUACGUUCCAACUUAUUUCAAAUAUACUCAUAGAGUUAAAUUUUGUUAAUGAACUGUUAGCUGUUAUCUGUAUAAAAUUACUAUUUUAUCCUUUCAAAUACUCUUUCACCAUCACCGACUUUUCUUAUUUGUUCUUAAGUUAAGGAUACAAAAAGUAUUUUAAUUUUUGAUUUUUUCAAAUAUAUCUUUCUAUCAUCACCAAUAUUUCUUAUUUGCCUUUAAGUUAAGGGCAAAAAAAAUAUUUUGAUUUUUUUUUAAAACUCUAGUAGAUAUUUAACUUACGUUUAACCCAAAUUAAUUUAACGGAUAGUAACUGUAAGAGUAUUUUGGAAUAACGGAGGAACAUAUGAGGGAUACAUUCGAAAGAAAAAAGAAAAAGAAUAAAUGAGAUAUUUUUGAAGUUUUGAAAAUUAUCUAGGCAAUUAUUCCUUAUAAAAUUUGCAUGCUAACAAAAACGGUGUAAGCUUUUUAAAAUUUCGUACACACCAUGCAUUUUUUUCCCUAAAAAUAUUCAUUCCCUAAAAAUAUUCAUGGGCCAAGUCGGAUCUGGAUAGUUAAUUUAUUAUAUUCAUACCCUAAAAAAAAAUAGGUAGGAAAAAAAAAAAUCCUACCUGUUCAACUUGGGCAGGUUCAGAUUAUUAAUGUACUUAUCAGGUCAAGAUAGUGACUGCGUAUGCUAUUCACUUAAGAUCAGAUACAGAUCAAAUGCGGAUCGGGUUUAAAUCGAAUAUGGAUAUUCGUAUGCAUAUCAAUGGCAUAAAGCACAAUAUUUAUUACAUAAUAAGUUAAAAACAAAAUUACAAAAUUUAUAAUAGUUAAAAAUAUAUAUUUAUUAUUCUAAAAAAUAUACAACCACCAUUGUAGCCACAUACAGCGAUAUAAUAAUUAAAAAAUACUUUUACCUAUUUAUCUCCUACUACUAGUCAAAAUUUUCAAAUAUAUCAUAAAAUUAUCAAAAUAUCCUUGUAGAUCCCAAUUCCUAUUAGUAACCCUAGGGAUUUGGGAGUAUUGAAAGGAAUUUUAAAAAUUAAUAAUGGUAUUUUGGUCAAUCAAGGAUAUAUUAGAUAUUUUUAAAAUUUUAAAGGGUAUAUUAAAAAUUAUCCCUAAAAAACUUAUAUUUAUAAGUCCAAAAAUAUACAACAUAAUUGCAUACAACGCAUACAACUAAGUCACAUAAUAUAUACCAUAAGUCCAAAUAAGUGAAACACAUGCACCAAUUAUUAUAUAAUAUAAUUAAAACAUAUACGCAAUAAAUCCGAAAUAUUAUAGUGAAAAGAUAAGUAACAAUUUUUUUUUUUUAAAUCUUUGCUUUAAAUUUUGAUGAUUGAAUAUUUCAUCGGGUUUGGAUCUGAUUCUGGAUAUGGAAACUAUUUUGGACCCUACGAAUAAAGAAUCGGAUCCGGAUCGGGUCCGGUUCGAGUAUGGCUAUAAGAUAUUCAGACCUAGACCAGACCUGAAAACUCAAUAAUGAGUAACUAUCCAAUUUUAAUCAGGUCCAAAUCGGAUUGGGAUUGGCAAUGAAUAUUCUUUACAUCUUUAUGGUUUGAUCAUGUCAUUCAUAUGUCAAAUAGUGACCACUACGGCGCGUCAACAUCCAUGGAGUUUAUGUCACUAUAUUAGUAAUGUUCGACACUAAGCAGUUGAUUAAGAAUAUAUACGGUUCAGCUGUGAUGCUUUUAAUAGUAUCAAGUAUUUGGUGCUAUUAAAUUUUUUACCGUUAAAUUUAUCUUUUUAAUCAUUUUCAUUCGUUAAAUCAUAUUAUUUAACCAACCACCAUUUAACUCUAGAGAAUCACUAUUAUUCUAACCGUACAUUCCUUCAUUCAAAAGUCGAAAAUCUAAUAUCAUCAAUAUUUUGGUGCUAUUAGAAAUACGACAGCUUAACUCUCUCUCUCUCUCUCUCUCUAUUUAUUAGUCUAUAUUUGCAUACUUUCAAAUGUUGUGUAACUUUUUUAAAAUUUUGAAUAUACGAUGAAUUUUUUUCCACCUGUCACUAACACUGACUUUUUAAAAGAAAGAAGAACAAAGAUGAAUGAAAAAAGAUAGAACAGUUUUCUUUUAAAACAAAAAAAAAAAGUUGGCUAUUUGGAAAAGAAAAAAAACGUUUAUUAAAAAACCCUAAAAUAGGCCUUCCUAUAGAGGUCUUCACCUAAACCUGUCAAAAAAAAAACAACUUUAAAAUUAUCUCACAAUUUUAAUCAAUUGGAAAAGGUUUAGAAUUUCGACCUAAUUUAGAAUAACUAAAGAAGCAACAUUAAUUAGCUUUUCAAUAAUAAUAAUAAUAAUAAUAAUAAUAAUAAUAAUAAUAAAAUAUAAUAAUUAUCUAAAACUAUAAAUUUUGGUUCAAACCUAGGCCAAAAUGACGAAACUAUUCAACACAAAGCACGAAGAGUUGUUUUCGGAUUGGGAGUUGUGUGCUGAAAAGAGAUAUAUGUGCAUAAAAGUGAUGCUCUUAGGAUUUAAAAUAGUUAUGUAAAUAUAAAGUAGAAUAUGACAAAUCUUUUAAUCCGAUUAUAAUAUUUGGGACGGUGGUUAGAUUCAAGAAGUUAAGAGUGUUAAGCGUGUCAGGACUAGAGUAGCUUUGAGAUGUUUGACCCCACUGGAAAGCGAGGCACUAUAAUUGGUAUCAGAGAAAAUCACUAUCUGGAAGUGUAAAAUGAGUAUUGGUUGAGCCAGAGUUAUAGAACAGGCAGAGCUCAACUCCACGGCUGAUGAUCAUUGUCGGUGGAGUGCGGUUCCCUUCAAAGUCGACUGAGGUAAGCAAGAUGAGUUUCACAUCACCUAAUAAGAGAUUAGGAGGGCUAAAUAUGUUAGGAUUAGAAUAGUUUUAAAAUAUAUGGGUGACCACUCAGAAAGCGUGGAUGAAUUUCGCAUCGUUUGACAAAAUGUCAAGAGGGUUAAACGUGUUAGGAUCAGAAUAGUUCUAAUUAAAAUGAGUGACCCUCUGAAAAACAAGAUGUCAGCUGCUGAUGACCAAUUAUAGACGAAGUGCGAUGAGUUUCACCUCGCUUGACACGAUAUUAAAAAAUUUACACGUGCUAGAACUAGAACAGUAAAUUUUCUGGAAAGUGGGGCAUGUACAAUAAAGUUAUGAUCCACAGACCUGAGCAGGUGGAACUUUAGUUGGAUUUCUUUCGAGCACGCAGACGAGGCUCGGCCCCGUCCACUUUUGCCACGCGGGCGAAUGCUAAAUUGGCCACAGCACUUUUCACUGGUAAGUUCCCAUCUCCAAAAUAAUUCAUGUUCUCUCUGUUGAAUCUACAUAGUCGUUUUGGGAAAUGAUGCACGUUGUGAAUUGUGAUCCAUAUGAUCAAUAAGGUACUAGAUCGAUGUGUCUCUUUUUUACAGGCUUAACUUUAAUAAGGCAAAGGAUUCGAUUGGUACGUGGUACAUAAUUUGGUUCUGCUUUGUGGUGUUCUCACUCUUAACCCUUCUCUCUCUCUCUUUUCUUUUCUUUUUUUUCUUUUUUCUUCUUUUUUUUUUUUUUUUGGCUCUUAAAGAUUAAAAGUUGUACUCAAUUGCGCGGAAACUGUUAUCACAACGUGGCCAGACCCUACACAGACAUCCACUUUCGUAGUGUUUAAGUAGGGCAAAAGAUGCAUAAAAGAUGGUCCUUGUACUACUCCUUAUCGCAAUAUGGUCCCUACUCUUUUUCAUAAAAAAAAUCUAAUUUUUCUUAUAUAACUAGUGCAGAGGCCCGCGCGAUGCAGCGGGUAGAUAAUAGAAGUAAAAUUUAAAAAUUUUAAUAAAUUUUAUAUUUACGAUUUAUUGAUAUAUAGAAAGCUAUAACAUAUUAAGUACAGUUAAUUUGUAUGACUAAAUUUACAUAGUAAGCAGAGGCCCCCGCGCGGACCGACUCAGCGAGCACUUAUAUAGGUCGCGGCUCGGCUUCGCGGGACGAUGCUUCUUGAAGGAGACAAUGUUCUUCAGAGGCUCUUCUUCUUAUUCUUCUUCUUCUUCUUUGUUAACACAACGAGAGAAAGAGAGAGAUGAGUGCGGAGUAGGAGAUUAGACGAUAAUAUUUUUUUAUGGUGCAUGUAAAAGAGUUACAAAAGAGAGGGGGUAGGAGAUUAAUUAAUGGAGGAGGGGAGUGGUGCAUGUAAAAGAAUUACAAAAGAGAGGGAGUGGGAGAUUAAUGGAGGAGGAAAGUGGUUAAAGUUAUAAAAUAGAAUCUUAAUAUGGUGCAUGUAAUUAAAUAUUGCAUGUAAUUAGAGUAGUGGUAAGGUGAGUUAGGCGUUAAGAAAAGAAGAAGGUGAUUUGAUUUAAAGUUGGAUUUAAAGUUACAUAUAAUUAAAUGUUGUAACUUACAUAUAAUUAGAGGAGUGGGGAGGUGAAGAAUUGAGAGUUGAAAAGAGGAGAAGGUGGUUUGAUUUAAAGUUGGCUAUGAGAAGUAAGAAUAACAUGUCACGUGGCAAAAAGUAUUGUGGCUUCAUAUAGGUUUAUAGAUGAUUAUUAUGUAUAUAUCUGAAUCCGACUAUGGUGUUUCCAGAAGUAUAAAAGAAUUGAUGCUUUCAAGUUUUUUAACCUUUGGAUCAAUACCACUCAACCUUACUGGAAGCCCCUAUCAUGCCAACCAUACAGUUCUUGAUCAAGGUCUAAAAAAUCGAAAGCGCCAAUUUCUUUAUGUUUCUGGAAGAAUGAUAGCUCUACACUAAUCUUUAUCUGUAUAUUAUCUAGUACUGCAUGGAGGGCUCUUUGGUUGUGGACACAUGCCCUUUUUGCAUAUUCCAUACACUGGGUAAAUUGUGGACCGAGAUCUCCCUCUAGCGACCAAACCUUGUCCUAAAACUCCACUUGUCUCGUUGCUUAUCUGCAUGUCAAUUCUCUUUUUGAAAGUAAAGAGGAUUUAACAUCAUCGAGAUAUAGAGUAUUUUGUCCAAACAAGAAGAUCUCACGAAAAUUCUUAUAAGAGGGCGGUAGAGAACAUAAUAAUAAAAGGACUUCAUCUUCCUCCUCGAUUUUGACAUCUAUCGAGCGGAGAUCCAUAAUAAUAGAAUUAAAUUCAUUUAAAUGCGAUUUAGUAGAGGUACUUUCCGCCAUGCGCAACAUGAAGAGACGUUGCUUCAAAUAUAACUUGUUGGUGAGAGACUUCGUCAUGUAGAGAGACUUCAAUUUAUGUCAAAGUCUUGCAGCGGUCUUUUCAUCCAAGACCUCGCACAAUACCUCAUCGAAUAGAUAUAAUUAUAUUACCGUAAGAACUUUGUCAUCAAUCUCCUCCUUCUGCUCCGCCGUCAAAGAAUCGGGCAUCCUUUCUUUUCCCAACAGUGCCUUCUACAAUUCCUGUUGCGUUAAUACAGCACGCAUCUUGACUUGCCAUAAUGCGAAACUGUUGGUCUUGUCAAAUUUCUGAAUCUCGAACUUUGUCGUCAUCUUAAUCUUCAAAGGGAAUAGAAGGCUCAGAUACCAGUUUGUUAAAAUCGGAAUAGUAAAAAAUAGAUUUAGAAAAUAAUUUAAUGCAGGAAAUGAAAAGAAAAGAGGAAAUGGCACAUCGAUAUUUACGUGGUUCGGCCAACGGCCUAUGUGCACGGACGAAAACAGAGCAAAUAAUUUAUUAAUGUCGAAAAUGCGGAGUACAAAGAUCUCUCUCUCAAAUUAAGAUUCCAAAUAAAGUAUUUGAUUGACGCGCAUAUGCAUAUAGCAUCUCCAAUUAGCACGUCCGUAUAAUGAGAUACUUCGGCUCGGCUCACCAUAUACAAGGUAUGGCACCUUCGUUGACUUAAUUAAUUGAGCAUCAAUAAGGCUUCGUUUAGAAUUGCGGGGAGAUUGCAUUACGUGCGGUGAAAAAAUACGUUAGAAAAAUAUCCUGUUUGUUUCCGUACGUAAUAUUGCGUUCCGCAAAUCGCGAUGAGUCAGUUACGAUGUAUUUUUUGCGGUCCCACCGGAGAACGUAAAAGUAUGUCCCUAUAUGCUUUUUUUACUCAACUCCAUUUUAUCUAAUAGCAUUUGAUAGGCCUCAAUACCAAACUAAGCCUAAGUCUCCUCAGCCGAGCACCCAACAGCACCGAAACACCAACAGAACCGAACGCUAAUUAAUUAGAGGAUUGCUUGGCGUUCUGAUCCCAGCUCCUCAAUGCUCUGCUCUAUAUAUAAUAUAUAUUAGAGCCUUAAUUAGAGUCGGAUAAUGCCAAAUUAAUUUGAGUCUGACUCAAAUUAAUAUUGCCGUGACCAAUGGCGGGUUGCCAACUCAUUAUAUAUACCGGAUCUCAAUUCUAAUCUAUUUCAACUUAAGCUUGCUUCAUAUAUUUCAAAUUUAAAUCUUAUCUUAUCAUAAUUAGAUUAGAGUAUAAUUUCAAUUUAGGUAGCUACAAAUCUAAACCAAAUUAUAACAUACGCUUACUACUAUUCAAAAUUUUUAAAUUUAUUCUAAAAUUAUCAAACUAUCCUUCUAAAACCUAAAUCCAUUAGUAAACGCUAAAAAAAGGGAUAUUUGAAGAAAUUUUUUAAAAUUGAUAAAGAAAUUUUGAUCCUCCCUGGAUCAAUAAGAUAUUUUGAAGUUUUAAAAGCAUAUUAGAUAUUAUCCCUAAAUGAAGGGGCUGUUGCAAAGUGCGGGCCCUUCGCUAAUAUCUCACUUCCCACGGAGGUCAUCGACGUCCUCGUCAAGCUCAAUCACGCAGAACCAAAAGAUUUUAAUACCAAACUAUAACAUUUCAGUUUAUAACAAGGAAUCUCACUUCCCAGAGAGGUCGCCGACAUCUUCAUCGCGCUCUAUCACACAGAUUGCCAAAUGAUGUGAGACCACGUUUCACACUUUUGCUCUAUCACACAAAUGGCCAGGUGAUUUGAGAUCUCGUUUCACACUUAUUCUCUAUCACAUGGAGUGGAAACAUCACAUGGACGUCGUUUCACACUUAUUUUAUAUUUUCGGCUGGUCAUUUCACACUUACUGGUCAUCCAUCCUCAAGCCAAUAGCUCUAUUAACUAAAUAUUCUAAAUCCAAAAACUUAUUGAGCUCGAUCAAUCCACUGACCCGAAAUAGUACAGCGCAAUUAUUAAGUCUAGAAAUACCAACCCUUAUAUACCCAUACUAUAUAGAUUUGCCAUCCAAUAUGGGAUUAAACUUGGGGUGUCACAUAUAAUAAGUAAUUCACUCAAUUUAAUUCAAACCUGGUUAUAUAUCAUUAUAUGAUAUAGUUCUCACAGGGUUAGAACUGAAGAAGUACAAAGAUGAACGGGAGAGAUAGAAGAGUUCUCUUUUAAGAUAAAAAUCAGUGAUAAAAAACUUGUUGGUGAAAACUCAAAAAUUUAAAAUUUGAAUUUUAUUCUAUUUAAAUUUUGAAUUAUCAUUUAAUAUUCAUUGAUAUUUAUUAUCUUAUUUAUUUAUUUAUUUAAUUUCUUAGUGAGAAAGGAACUAACGGGAUAUUUCCGUUCCGUUUUUUGCACCAAAAGGAACUCGUUCCGUUGUGCGGUUCCACUUCUUUCUCGUAAGAAAAAGAGCGUGAAUUCUCUUUUCCUUUCUUCGAUACUUUGAUCUCCUUUUUUCCUCCUCAUUGAAAAAUGAGAUUUAGAUAAUUUUGUUAAUCUUUAUCUAUUCAUCUCUUAUCUUUUACUAUUUGAAUAUUCUUCUUAUCUACUGGGUGUUGAGAAUCUCCGUCAACCUCCUUCACGAUCGUGCUCGCAGAAUGAGGAAUUACCGGCUCGUACGCUUCCGGAUAAAAUCAAUCUUUAUUGAAAUAUUUGGUUUUAUCUGUAAGUUGAUUUAUUUAUUGUUAUCACAAUUUACUUAGAUCAUAUCACAAUCAGAUUCUUUGUGGUAUUUGCUCCACAAUCUAAGGCGAAAUCCCUAUCUGGAUAAUGAUUAAAUCUGACGGUGCUUAUCUAUAUAAAUAGUAUACAUAUAUAUUUUUGCAUAUAAUUCUGUUGACAACUUGCUUGUAUGCUUGUCAUUCAAAUUUAAAUAAUAUGGGAUUAACAUUUUUAAUUUCUAAUGGAAUAUGUUUAUCUGUAAUAUUAAUCUUUUUCUUAUUGUUAUUAUUUUUACCGUACGGAUUUCAAAGGGUGGAUUUUUUUGCUACAGUAAAUAACAUUUUAUUUAUGUGCGGUUUGAGUUUUGCUAUUAGAAAAUUCCUUUAAAAAAAAAAAGGAAUUUGCUACAGUAAAUUUUUUAAAGUGUACGGUUUUUUUAUAUAAAUUGUUACAGUAAUUAUUUCAGCUUUUCCUGUGUGUACGGGUUUACUCUUGCUAUAGUAAAACCCAUUGCUAAUUAAAAUAAAAAUAUGUUUCUUAUAAGAUUAAUUAUUUUAUUAUUUGAUUAUUAAUUAUUAAUAAUUUAAUAUAUUUAUCCAUAAACUAAUAUUUAUAUUGAUCAACCAUUAAUAUUUCUAUUAAUCUAAUUAAUUUUUUUACUAGUUAUCUAGCUAAAAUAAUUUACUAACUAAUUAAAAAGUUAAAUUAUUUUUUAUAAUUAAUUAAUUAAUUAAUAUAUUUUUAUUAUCUUAUAUAAUAUCCGUAGCUAAUAAGUUUAUUAAUUUAUUAAAUUAUUUUUAAGUAAUAUUUUGAUGUUAAUUAAUUAGAUAAAAUAAUUUUAAUUUCAAAUUACAACUCUUAUUUUCCUUGUUCCAAUCUAACCAUCCAAACACUAUUUAUUUUAUUCCUAGAAACAAUCCAAUUAUUAUUCAAACGUAAAAUUAAUCUAGUUGCUGCUUAUAUUUAAACUUGUACCUAUCUUGGAAUAAACAAUUUUUACUUAUACCGGAACUAAAUGCAGCCUUAAAAGUACCAAGUCAUUAAUGCUCGUAAGUUUUUGACAUUUGGAUGAAGAUUUGUAGAGUUAAUGGUCCCAUAUAGAAUUGAGUGAAUGGUUGGUGGAAUAGUAUAAUCUAAGGGGUAGAAUUGGUCAAAGAUAUAGAUCGAUCUAACAGUAAAAAAUUUACAAGUAUUAAGUGUUUGGUACUUUUAAAAGCACCGUAACUAGACUAUAUAUAUAGUCCAACUAUAGUGCUUUUAGAAAUAUCAAGGUAUUGAAGUUAUAACAUUUUGGUCAUUAAAUCAAUCAUUGCGGCUUGGAUCAUCCCUAAUGGUAGGCCCUAUAAGUAAUCACCAUUGUUGGCUUUUGAGUCUAUAGCUAAAAGGUUAAAUCUAAGGGCGAAAAAACUAUAAACAUCAAAGCCAGCCUUUUACAUGCAUUCCAGCUCAAUGUGUGUGCGCGCGUGCGUGUGUGUUGUGUGUUGUGCGUGUGCGUGUCUAAUUGCGCACGCGUGCGUGUGCGUGUUUGCGCGCACGUGUGCGUGUACGUACGUGCGUGUGCACGCGCACGCGCAUGUGCGCCUGCAUGUGUGCACACGCGCAUGCGCGCGCGCGCGUGUGUAAAACUGUAAGCAUCGAGGCCAUCCUUUUAGAUGCAUUCUAACUUAAUUCUGUUAUAUGUAUUUGUGUGUGUUACAUAUUUUUAAUUUGGGUCGGUCGACAAAUUUUUUUAAUCGAAAAAAAUUUUGAUUUCUUUUUUUCUUACAUAAAACAAAUAACAAAAUAAUUAAAGCUUUUAAUUUCUUUUUUUUUUUCUAAAAGAUUAUCUUUUCUUUUUCACUAAAUAUUUAUGUAUCAUUCCAUACCUUUCCAUUUUAGCUAAAUAUUUUCUGAUCAUCUCAAUAUAUAAACAUCAUGGAUUAAUUUUUUUCAAUUCACGAUCGGAGUUGUUGUCUUGGUCUAGGUAACGACAAAAUUUUAUAUAAAAAGUUUAACUAAUUCCGAUUCUUAUAAACCAUUAAAUUAGGAAAUGCUUUAUACAUAUCGUUAAUAUCGUCAAUUUUCAAGCCUUCCGACUCGUAGGGCAUAUGAUAUCAAGAAAGAAUGAAAUUCGUUUUUUAGAAUGUUUAAAUAUUUUAAAUUAUAUUUAACAGUAUAAAUCACAUAUUCAAAAGUUCUAUCAUUGAAAGCGACUCAUAAGUAUGAAAGUGAUAGUGCAUAUUCAUAAUAAUAUAGUAGCUGGACUCAUAUAGAGGAGACCAUAGUGCUUUUAAAAGCACCAAAUGGUGCUUGUAAAUUUUUCACCGUUAGAUCUCUACUCCUUUGAUCAUUUCGAACUGUUAGAUCAUACUGUUCAACCAAUCACUUAUUCAACCUUUGGAAAUCAUUAUUAUCCUAACCGUACAUCUCUUAAUACAAGAGCCGAAAACCUAUAAACACCAAUAACUUGGUACUUUUAAAAGUAUAGGAGCUCAAUUCUAUAAAUGCUAUUAAUAUAUAUUUUUGUACAGAUGUGACUUUUAUAUAAACACGAUGAAAGUAAUGAAGAGAUGGCUUCAAAAUUGUCUAGCAGCUAAAAACUACUUAUAAUGCUUUGGGAUUUAUAAGUCAGUUUGAAAGAGCAAGUAGGUCCAAAGAAAAGAUUGUUACAGUAUAAAAAUAAUUAAGUUUUUAUUACUAAUACAAUAGAUAUAUAAAAAUUUAGUCAUGAAAAUUGUCAUAUAAGUAUUGAUCAUAUUCAAAAUGCAUGUUUUACAGAUAAGAAAAACAUGCAAGUGUCAUAUUUAAUACGCAUGUUUUGCCAAUAACAAAACAUGCUCUAUCCACGUCAGGAUCUCAGAGUUAAAAUUGGAGUAUUCGACCAUAAUGAGAAAAGUGGUAGCGCAAUUUGGAAACAAGUUUGACACUGUGAUCUUGCCCAUCAAAAUUGAACAAGAAUAACAAGAAAUAGAUCGAAAAUUGUUUGGCUAAUCAUCACCUUCAAAUUUGGGAGACAAUGAAGUUUCUCUUUCGGAGGUUCCUUUUUUCUCAAUAUAUGAUGAUCAUGAUGCUGAGUAGCUGAUGCACUAAAUACCCGUGCAGCAUCUUCCUGUGAAAGAUGACUAACUAAAGCAUCAAUGGACCACUUAAUUUGUUAGCAACCCAUAUUAAUAUAUCCACAUGUACAUGUUUUUGAUGGUAAUAUGUACGAUUUCCACAUGCAUGACAACUUGGUUUUUUACCUAAAAUCCGUAUUUACAUAUUGCGCUCUUAUUCUCUCAUCAUUGAACGAAAGAGAUUAAGUAUAAAAUGAUGCGACCGAUUUAGCAUUGGACUAUGAUGUGAAGGUGGAUCAAACCAAGGCGGGUCGAAAAAAAUCGAAUUGAGAUCAGGUCGGCGCAAAUUGGACUAGUUUAGGUGUAGAUUUAACUUUUUCUUUUAGCUUAAACAGCUAUAAGUUUGUACAUAUGUAGCCGAUCGGGAAAAACUCUUCGAAAAUUGCCAUAAUGUGCCUCUUCGAAGAGUUGUUUUCGGAUUUGCGGUUUUAGCUCCUGAAUUUAUUUGUGAUGUUUUGUAAGAGAGUUUUGUUGGAACAAAUACCGCAAAGAAAUCUGAUUGUGAUUAAUGAUCUAAGUAAAUUUGUGAUAACAAUAAAUAAAUCAACUUACAGAUAAACGCAAAUAUUCCAAUAAAGAUUUGAUCUUAUCCGGAAGCGUGCGAGGCACUGCCCUAAGGCGUAUUCCCGUCCUUACGUGCGGAAUUAAUCAGAAAUAACACCCCAAGGUACGACUGGAAUUUCUCAUUCUGCGAGCACGAUCGUGAAGGAGGUUGACGGAGAUUCUCAACACCCAGUAGAUAAGAAGAAUAUUCAAAUAGUAAAAAAUAAGAGAUGAAUAGAUAAAGAUUAAUAAAAUUAUCUAAAUCUCAUUUUUCAAUGAGGAAAAAAGGAGAUCAAAGUAUCGAAGAAAGGAAAAGAGAAUUCACGCACUUUUUCUUACGAGAAAGAAGCGGAACCGCACAACGGAACGAGUUCCUUUUGGCGCAAGAAACGGAACGGAAAUAUCCCGUUAGUUCCUUUCUCACUAAGAAAUUAAAUAAAUAAAUAAAUAAGAUAAUAAAUAUCAAUGAAUAUUAAAUGAUAAUUCAAAAUUCAAAUAGAAUAAAAUUCAAACUUUAAAUUUUUGAGUUUUCACCAACAAUCCCCCACAAAACUCAAAAAUUUUAAAAUUACAAAUUAAAAUCAAAUUUACUGGGUGUUUUAUACUAUGCAAUGGGUGAGAUGUCUUUAAGAGACUUAACCCCACUUAGUGUAAGUGAUUUCCAUCAGAAGAAAUCGGAGUGAACCAGGUCUUGAACUAUGUUCCUUUGACCCUGAUUCAAUACCACACAUACGUUACAAAUUCUCCGUCGGCGGGUUCCUGUGCGUAAUGGCCAACUGGCACAGUACCCUUGAUUUUUCAUAAGAGUUUCUAUGGAUAGCCCCAAUCACUAUAGCCGCGGCACAUACGAUACUUCUUAUAUAAGGUGGUUUCACCUCCAGGGUAUGUGUUAGAAUCACAUCUCGCGAAGAAUAUCGCUACUGGAUUUUGUCCCCAUUAAGAGCUCUCAGCUCAACCUACAUCCACUACACAGAGCACACUGCCGCAUGAGAAUGGGAUUUGGAGCUAAAGCUCCUUUGAUAAAAUUUGUAGAAAGUGCUCGUGGCCAACUGCCAGCUGUUUUAACAGCAUUGAACUCCUUCUUCAAGGGAUCCUCCUAUCACAAAGAUUGGGUUCCCACUGCACGGAAGGCCCUUACGAAGCAAAGUCGCAUCCCUCUCGAUGACUGGCAGGACUAUAGCCCUCUUAGGCCUUUCAAUCUGGUAAUCUGCACAGAUCUAGACGUCAAACUGACAAAACUCAAAUAAAACAUAUGAUAGAUAAUUAACAUCUAACAGAUUUCGUAGUCUCAAUUAUAUCUCACAAAUGUUAACUUAGAAUUUAUAAUUUUUCUUCUACAAGUUAAACACAAUGAUAGACAAAUAGAAAAAUGAGAGCAAUAUAUAUAUCAAAAUUUAUCAAAGCUGCUAAAAGCUUCCCACAAUUCACGAGAUACUACUAAAAUUUAAAAAUCAUAAAUUUAAUCAUGUUGAAAUAGAGUUUGAUCUCAACAGCAAACAGAUGGACCAAACAAAUUUCUUUUUUUAAAAAUUGAUUUCAAUAGGUAAUUCUCGAGCAAAUACAUAUGCCAAUCAAAAUAAUAGUCUAAUGCAGCAAAUAGGAUUUUAAAAAUAUGCUUGAAAUUAUGAAAAAUAAAAAUUAGCAAAUAGUGUUGCUGGUUAGAUACAUGAAAUGCAAAUCUCCGCGUUGGAACAAAAAUAUUGUAUCCUUCACCUUUUUUUUUUACCCGGAAAAAUAGUAUAUCUAUAUGUCUAAAAUUAGUUUUAAAAUAUAUACUUAAAAAUAAGUUUAAUAAUCUAAACAGUGGAAAAGGAAAUGUACUGUAGUCAUUUUUUUUUUAGAAAAAAUAUUAUUUACUGCGGCAAAUCAUUUUUUUAUUGAAAUCUGUACAAACUAGACAUAAAACAUCCUCAUUGUAUUAUUAUAUAUUUUUAAUCCGUACAAAAGUAGUUAAACAAAAAUAUUAUUUAAGCAAUAAAUAAUGAUUUAAAUAUAUUAAUUAGGUUAAUUCAUGAUUUAAUACCAUAAUUAAAAGUAAGUUUAGACUUUAAUUAACCUUGUUCUUACCUGGAAACAAGCUUGUUCCAGAAAAAAAAAAAAAGAAAAAAGGGUGGAACAUCAGUUCCAGCCUUAUACCAGCUUAUUCCAGGAAGCCGAGAACUACUCUUUUCGGAUAACAAAUACGGUGUUUGAGAACAAAGGGGGGAACAAGAGCUUAUUCCCUCUUAUUUCCGAACUAAACACUACUUAAAAAAGUAUAGGAGUUCAACUUUAUAUACAUACAUAUAUAUAUAAAAAACUAGACUAUUAUACUUUUAACAGCACUACAGCAAAUCUUACACUUAAGGAUACUUUAAUAACUAGCGACAGUUUAAAGCAUCGGUCAACAAUAAUCCCGACGCUUGUAAAAGCAUCAAGCAGAGAGUCUAUCAUACCCCGAGUUUGCAGCGAAAGACUACGGGGUGCUAACAAAUCCGCCGAACAGACAUAGUCGUUAAGUAAAUACAAGGCUCCAUUCUACAAGGCUCCAUUCUUUUGUUUUCUCGCAAAAUCUGUAAAACAAGUCUCAAAUGCUACUCGUGCUCAAAAUCACUUCGAGAGUAGAUUAGGAUGUCGGCGAUAAAGACUACCACGAAUUGAUCCAAGAAUGGCUUAAACAACCUGUUCAUCAAAUCCAUAAAUGUAGCGGGGGCAUUCGUCAAUCCAAAUGGCAUCACAGUGAAUUCAUAGUGCCCAUAAUGCGUCCUGAAGGUUGUCUUCGAUACAUCUUCUGCCGUGAUUUUUAAUUGAUGACAUCCAGAUUGGAGGUCAAUCUUGGGGAAGACGCAGGCCCCUUGCAACUGAUCAAAUUAAAAAGUCAUCGAUCCACGACAACGGGUACUUAUUCUUGAUGGUCACUUUAUUCUGCUCCCUGUAGUCUACACACAUACGAAGUGAACCAUUAUUUUUCUUCACAAGUAAUAUCGAUGCUCCCCAGGGUGACAUACUCGGUAGCACAAAUCCUUUAUCCAUCAGAUCCAACAGCUGAGACUUUCACUCUCGUAGCUCCGCUGGUGCCAUCCUGUAAAGUGCUUUUGAGAUUGGCACGGUUCCUAGUACCAUGUCAAUCACGAACUCUAUCUUCCAAUCCGGCGGCAAACCCGGUAGCUCUAGCGAAAAGACAUCAGAAAACUCUCGAACUACAGAAAUAUCCUCGAGCCUCGGUACCAUUGCAAGCACUUCCACCACAGUCGCCAAAAAGGCCACAUACUCACUACUCAUCCUCUGUCUCGCCCGAGAAGUGGAGGUUGUCAUGGCAAAAAGAGUAUUCUAAUAACCCUUGUACACGAAUUCCUCCUGUCUUGGCUCGUGAAAAACUACAGUCCUCGCUCCGCAAUCAAUAGUUGCAUAAUAGCGGGUGAGCCAGUCCAUCCCCAAGACAACAUCAAAAUUUCGUAACUGCCUCAAGACCAAGAGUUCAGCGGGCAUAAUCCAGUGUUCUAACUGAACUGGGCAAGAUCGACAACACCCAUCUGCAAGCAAUGUAUUCUCAGGGAUCUGCACCUCACGGGGAUAUGCCAAUGACUCAAACUAAAACCCAUGCAAUAGAGCGAAUGCGAGACCCACAAAAGAAUAUGAUACACCAGUGUCAAACAAUGUACAAGCCCUAGUACCAAAAAUGACGUGAAGAAGGUAAACUUGCUUAUUGUUAUCAAUUACCACUUUUUCCUCAUUUUUGCUCAUUUAGACGUGAAGAAGUGUGAGUUUUGGCUUCGGAAGGUAGCUUUUCUGGCCAUGUGAUUUCAGCAACUGGUAUUGCCGUUGACUCGAAGAAGAUUGAGGCUAUUAGGGAUUAGCCCAGACCGAUAACGGUUACGGAGGUACGGAGUUUUCUUGGACUUGUCGGCUACUACUGUUGUUUUGUGGAGAGUUUUGCGAAGUUUUUUGCUCCCCUCACACAAUUGACUCGGAAGGGAAUAAAGUUUGUAUGGAGUGAGGAGUGUCAAAGGAGCUUCGAGGAACUGAAGACUAGAUUAAUGACGGCUCCGAUUCUUGCUCUCCCGGUAAUGGGGGAAGGAUUUGUAAUAUAUAUUGAUGCCUCGCGCAGUAAAUUAGGUUGCAUAUUGAUGCAGCAUGAUAGAGUAAUUACUUCUGCCUCAUAACAACUAAAGGAAUAUGAGAAGAAUUAUCCUACCUAUGAUUUGAAGCUUGUUGCGGUGGUGUUUGCGUUGAAGAUGUGACGUCAUUACUAAUAUGGUGAGCAUUGUGAAAUUUACACAGAUCACAAGAGUUUCAAGUACUUAUUCAUUCAAAAGGAGUUGAAUUUGAGGCAACGCUGUUGGCUUGAGUUGUUGAAGGAUUAUGACGUGACUAUUUUCUAUAACCCUGGAAAGGCCAACGUGGUUGCAAAUGCCUUGAGCCGCAAAUCUGUGAAGAAUUUGAGUUUGAUGAUCACCUAACAGGCGCCACUAUUGGAGAAGAUGCAGCGACUAUAGCUUGAAGUUGUAGCCCUAGGGAUCUCUGCCAGACUUAUGUCCUUGGUCUUACAACCCGUCCUGAUAGAUAAGAUUAGGGGGAAACCCUUACCUGACAAGGAUGGGAAUAGCUUUGAAUUCUUUGAUUCCACAAUCGAUUAUGUGUACCUAGGAAUGCAGCACUCCGUGAGGAGAUUUUGAUGGAGGCGCAUAGCUCCCCUUACGCAGUUCAUCCUGGAGGAAUGAAAAUGUACAGGGAUUGAAGACAAAUUAUUGGUGGCCAGGGAUGAAAAGGGCUAUUGGGAGAUUUAUGGCGCAGUGUUUGACUUGUUAACAAGUAAAAGCAGAGUAUCGGCUUUCUGCUAGCAAGUUUCAAAAUCUCACAAUCCCUGUCUGAAAGUGGGAUAUAAUUACGAUGGACUUUGUGUUGGGAUAGCCACAUUCACACGGCGAACAUGAUGCUAUUUGGGUAAUAAUUGAUAGAUUGAUGAAAUUUGCACACUUUACCCCAGUUCAUAGUACUUGGCCCAGAGAGAGACUCGCUCAAAUAUAUAUUAAUGAGAUAGUGAGGCUACAUGGUGUGCCGACCUCGAUUGUAUCCGAUAGGGACCCGAGAUUCAUUUCACCCUUUUGGAGGAGUUUACAGACAGGUUUGGAGACUCAACUCUAUUUUAGCAUUGCGUUUCACCCACAGACUGAUGGCUAGUUUGAGAGGAUGAUACAGAUACUUGAGAACAUGAGGGCUUGUGUUUUUUACUUUGGAGGCGGAUGGUAUCGACACUUGGCAUUGGCGGAGUUUGCAUAUAACAAUCACAUCAAUUUUGUGCCAAAACAGUUUCACCUUAUUCCAACCUCGCACUCGCACGCUAACCGGCAACCUACACCAUAGCACAAGUAACAAAAACACCGUAUUCUACAGAGUCAUUAAGUAAAUAUAUCGGGAUAAAUAUACCGACACUUUAAUAUAGCGUCAGAAAAGUUUUAUCAGUAUUUGAUAAAAAUAUGUUUAUUGGCGACGUUUAUCAUGAUAUCGGCACAUGCCAAACAUUAAAAAUGUUAAAAUAGAGUGUCGUCUAAAAAGUAUAGUCUGAAAUAUAUUUUGUUGUAGUGGCACCAAGUCAUUGGUGCUAUUAGGUUUUCAGCUCUUAGAUAAAGUGAUGUUCGGUUAGAAUGAUAGUGGUCUCAUAGAAAUGAGUAGGUGGUUGGAUGAAUAGUAUGAUCUAAUGGGUAGAAAUGAUUAAAAGAAUAGAUCUAAUUGAAGAGUAUAGUAGCCUUAGCCUAUAUAUAUACAUAUAUGUCUGUAUGUAUGUAUAUAUAGAGUUGAGCUAGUAUUUUAUUAUAGCAUAUGAAUAGUAUCUAUUAUUAGCUUUUUCACCUUUGGAUUAUUACUAUUCCACCAACCGAGGGAUCUAACAGUCACAAAAUUCAUAGAAAUAUUAUUUUCAUACCAUCAAUAGUAUGCGAGAUCCACUUUAUAUAUGUGUACAAAAAAAAAAAAGAGAGAGAGUUUGGCUUGUGUAUUGUGAAAGUAUGGAGGAUUAAUGUUUUUUCAAAUUAUUUUCGAUGGUGAGACUUUUGAUUCGAUACUCUAUUAGACUUAAUUGAGAAAAUCUAAAGUGUUUGGAAAAUAAAUUUUGCGAUAUUUCAAUGCCAUUGUCCUAAUAAUUAAAAGGUCUAAAAAGCAAUAGCUGAAAAUAAAAAUUUUACAAAAAGUAAUGAUACAACACCAAAAUUUUAAAUCAAAGAUAUUGAUAUUAUUUUGUAUAGUAUAAAAAAAAAAAUCUCUAUUAAAUUUCAUGUGACUUUGAAGUGUUUGCAUUGUUAAACUUACAAACAACUUACCUCAACCUUCAAAAUUGUUGAUUUUGACCUCCUACAAUCACUUGGUAAAUAAUAUCAAAAAAUUAAUAAAUUUAUUUUUAAACAUUUCAAAUAUUCUAAAUCAAGUUUAAUAAAAUGAAUCAUCGAUUCAAAAUUUUCAUCAUAAAAAAUAAUUUAAAAAUAUAGAGACCUUCGUACUUUCAAAAGUCCCAUCAUCUUCAACUAUAUAUAAGCUCUUUAUUUGUGUCAUAAGUUUAUUUAUUCCUCAACUAUGAGCUGUUUUAACAAUAGGUUUCCUAAUUUAAACUAUUUUUUAAAACUUAUUUAUUUUAUAGUUAUUUUAAGUUAAAGAUUUUUCUGUUAAGAAUGUUCUAUCACAAACCCUAAGGCCCCUUUUGGUUCGGGGGAUAAGCGGAGGUAACGAAAGUUAUCCCCGCUAUUCUGCCAAACGGAAUGAUAUUUUACCGGAAUAUUUUAUCUCGGUCAAACCUUACUAUUCCUAGUUAUCCCAAAAUAGCAAACGAUUUGCUAUUCCACCAUUUUGAUGGAAUAGUGUUAUUCCAAUAUUUAAUUUCAAACUUAAUUAAAAUUAUAAAUUGAAUUAAAAUUAAAUUACACAAAUAUAAGAUACUAUAUGUUAUAAUACAUUAUUUUUAUUAUAAAAUUAUUAAUUAUACUAUAUUAAUAUAUAUUAUUUAUAUUUAAAUAUUAUAAUAAAUUUUAUAAUAAAUUAUAUUUAAAUAUUAUAAAAAUUUGUUUUAUUAAAUAUAAGUUUAAGUAGAAUUUUUUAAAAAAUUAUAAAUUUAUUANUAAAAAUUUAUAAUUUAUAAUUUGUAAUCUCAAAAUUAAAUUUUAUAAUUUUAAAUUUUAAAUUUAUAUUUUGAUAUUUUAAAUUAAUUUUAAAAAUUUAUAAUUUGUAAUCUCAAAAUUAAAGUUUAUAAUUUUAAAAUUUAAAUUUAUAUUUUGAUAUUUUAAAUUUUUGAAAUUUAAAAUUUGAUAUUUGUAUUUUUCAAAUUUAAAUUUGAACUUAAAUUUAAAGUUUGAAAUUUAAAAUUUAAAAUUUAAAAUUUUGAAUUUAAAAUUUGAGAUCUUAAAUUUUAAUUUUUAAUUUCAAAAUUUGAAAUUAAAAUUUUAAAAUUUUAAAUUAAAAUUUAAAAAUUUAAAAAUUUAAAUUCAAAUAUAAUAAGAGGAUACUAUCAUUUUUUUUUAUUUAUAAAAUCUCAAUAUCCUUCUUAUUCCAUCUUACCUAACCAAACGCUAUCUUUUUUAUUCACAGGAAUAAUUCAAUUUUCAUCCAAACGCAAAAUUGAUUUAAUUCCCGCUUAUACCUCGAUUUAUAUUUAUUCCUGGAAUAACCAUUUUUUGCUUAUCCCCGAACCAAACAAUACCGGGGAACCAAACGAUACCUAAUUGUUUCAGUUUCAGUUGUUAAAAAAUUAAUUAAACUAUUAAAUU